AGGAAGAAAGUACAACAAGGUGAUAUUCCGGAAGCAAGAAUCGAUGAAGAAGGAAUACUUCGUGUCAACUCCAAACUUUGUGUUCCUAACGAUUCUGACUUAAAGUAUAAAAUCAUGAUGGAGGCGCACAACACACCGUUUGUAAUCCAUCUUGGGAGUACCAAAAUGUAUCGUGAUCUUCGACAUACAUUUUGUUGGAGCAAUAUGAAGAGAGAGAUAGCGGGGUUUAUCUCAAGGUGUCUAACUUGUCAACGAGUCAAGGCGAAGCAUCAAGUGCCAAAAGGUCCAUUGCAACCACUUGAAAUUCUAGAAUGGAAAUGGGAGCACAUUACUAAUGAGAUAAAAUAUGUAACUGCAAGUGCACAGUGUCUAAUUGAAGAACUGGCAAGUACAUGUCGAACCCACAGAGACUAGAUUAAUUCUUUAAUAUAUCCUUAAUUAAUAUUUUAGGCAAAUUAGAAACAAAAAUGGUGGAGAAGAUUUUUUAACUAAAUUAUGCAAACUAUUAAUUAAUGACGAAAACUAUUAAUGAGAAAAGAUACCUAGGAAUUAGAAUCCACCAAAUAUUAACAUAAUAAAUAAUUUCUUAUUUCCUAAAUCAAUUCCCAAAUUAUUUUCCCUUCCCUUUAAAAAUAAUGAUUCAUAUAAUUAAUAUGGGCAAGCAUAAGUUAUGAAAAAUUCACAGAUUAACUAUAACUUAUCAAAACCUCGCAAUCAAUAUAAAAAUCAUAUGCAAUUUAUGCGGAGGAACAUAUAAAGGCAAAAAUAAUUAGACAUUAAUUUUGGAACGGAAAGAAAAUAUUUUUAUGAAAUAUUUAGUUUCAUCAUAUUCCUAGGUAUUAGAAAUUUAGCUAGCCAUGGAAUUAAAAACAAAAACAAAUAAUAUUAGUACUACUAAUCGCAUGAAAUAAGAACAAUAAUUAAAAAGAGAAUUUCUAUUAUAUAAAUAAAAGAAAGUGACAAAUACUCCCUGACAGUAGUACCACAACUGAUUAGAAUAAGAGAAAGGACAAACUCUAAAUAUCUUACUCCUUGCUACACUAGUAAGAAACUGAGAAAAAGAAAAUAACAAGUGGUGCCUUUCUCUCUAAAACAAGAUGCCUAUUUAUAGGAAAAAUAACUUUGAACCCUAAUUUAGAUUCAUUGAACUUGGACACUUUUGUUCCCUUUCUAUAUAGGAUUCAAUUUCCUAGUCGCAAUCAACUUCUCACAAAGAUCUUCUAGAUAAAGAGAUCUUCUAGAUUAACUUUCCUUUCUCUUGUUGGAUUUGAAUCGCACACUAAGAUUGUUCAACCUCUUUCCUUCUCCUUGUAGGAUUCUUCUUGGAUAUUCCUUAUAUGAAUAAGAGCAUUAAAUAUCGCUUGAUCACCAAGAUUUUGACUUUAUUGCAACAAAUAUUAAAUCCUACAAAAUAAAAUAAAAUAUAUUAAUUUAAUAAACUAAUAUAAUUAAAAGGAAAAAAUUAGGGAUAAUUAAAUGUAUGAAUUAUGUGUCUAUCAAUUACCAUGGAUUUCGUUACUGGUCUUCCCAAGGUUUCCCGAGGCAUAGAUACGAUUUGGGUCAUUGUUGAUAGAUUGACAAAGUCUGCUCAUUUCUUACCGAUACGAGAAACUUAUACACUUGAACAUCUUGCUAGUAUGUACAUAAAUGAGAUUGUAAGAUUGCAUGGUAUGCCAGUAUCUAUAGUUUCUGAUCGAGACCCAAGAUUCACUUCAAGAUUUUGGGUUAGUUUUCAAAAAGCUAUGGGCACGGAUUUACGAUUUAGUUCAGCAUAUCAUCCUCAAACGGAUGGGCAGUCAAAAAGGACUAUUCAAACUCUUGAAGAUUUAUUAAGACUCUGUGUCCUUGACUUCAAGGGAAGUUGGGACAAGUUCUUACCAUUGGUGGAGUUUUCCUACAACAAUAGUUAUCAAGCAAGUAUUCGCAUGGCUCCAUUUGAGCGCGUUGUAUGGAAGAAAGUGUUGUUCUCCAGUAUGCUGGGAUGAGGUGGGGGAAGCAAUGUUGUUAGGACCAGAGUUGGUACAUAUGACUACGAAAAAGAUUCAAACGAUUCGACAACGUAUAAAAAUCUCACAAGAUCGACAAAAGAGUUAUGCUGAUCUUCAUCAAAAGGACAUGGAAUUCAAUAUUAGAGAUCAUGUGUUGUUACGUGUUGCUCCAUGGAAAGGAGUUACGAGAUUUGGAAAGAGAGAAAAGCUCAAUCCUCGAUUCAUUGGACCAUUUUUAAUCCUCGGUCGAGUAGGAACUGUGGCCUAUAGACUCGCCUUACCACCAAGUAUGUCUCGUGUUCAUAACGUUUUUCACAUAUCUAUGUUACGUAAAUAUGUGAAAGACCUGAAUCACAUUAUUGAAUUAGAACCAGACGAGAUAGAGGAAGAUUUAAAGUAUGAAGAGUUACCUAUUAAAAUCUUGGAUAAGAAGGAUCAUAUUCUACGCUCCAAGGUUAUACCUCAAGUCAAAGUUUUGUGGAGAAACCACGAUGUGGAAGAAAUGACCUGGGAGUUAGAAUCUGAGAUGAAGUCAAGAUAUCUUCACCUAUUUGAUAUACCAGGUAUAUACCCUAAUUUCGAGGAUGAAAUUUCAUAAGAAGGGGAGGUUGUAAGACCCCAACUUUUAUGAAUAAAGAAUAUUUUUCUCGAAAUAUAUUUUUGAAUAUUAUGGUGUGGAUUUGAUAUAAUGUUAUAGUUGUGGGUAAUAUUUAUAAACUUUGCAAAGUAAGCAAGUGGUUAUAUAAUAUUCGAUUGGUCGGGGAAUAUUCGUUUUAACAGAAAAUAUUCGUACAACGGCACAAUCAUUGGUGGGCCCUACAACGGAAGUAUUGUCGUAGUUAGAAAACGACAGAAUUAUCUUUUUAUAAAAAUAACGGCAAAAGUGUUACGGUUAAAACUGUUGAACUACUCGGUAGUAAAAGUACAGUAAUACGCGUGGUUGCAUAGUAGCACACGGUAUUGAUUAUUGAUGCUUACGUGAGAAGUCACUCAGUUAUACUCAAUUAUUGCUANNNNNNNNNNNNNNNNNNNNNNNNNNNNNNNNNNNNNNNNNNNNNNNNNNNNNNNNNNNNNNNNNNNNNNNNNNNNNNNNNNNNNNNNNNNNNNNNNNNNNNNNNNNNNNNNNNNNNNNNNNNNNNNNNNNNNNNNNNNNNNNNNNNNNNNNNNNNNNNNNNNNNNNNNNNNNNNNNNNNNNNNNNNNNNNNNNNNNNNNNNNNNNNNNNNNNNNNNNNNNNNNNNNNNNNNNNNNNNNNNNNNNNNNNNNNNNNNNNNNNNNNNNNNNNNNNNNNNNNNNNNNNNNNNNNNNNNNNNNNNNNNNNNNNNNNNNNNNNNNNNNNNNNNNNNNNNNNNNNNNNNNNNNNNNNNNNNNNNNNNNNNNNNNNNNNNNNNNNNNNNNNNNNNNNNNNNNNNNNNNNNNNNNNNNNNNNNNNNNNNNNNNNNNNNNNNNNNNNNNNNNNNNNNNNNNNNNNNNNNNNNNNNNNNNNNNNNNNNNNNNNNNNNNNNNNNNNNNNNNNNNNNNNNNNNNNNNNNNNNNNNNNNNNNNNNNNNNNNNNNNNNNNNNNNNNNNNNNNNNNNNNNNNNNNNNNNNNNNNNNNNNNNNNNNNNNNNNNNNNNNNNNNNNNNNNNNNNNNUUAUUAUUCUGUUGGAAUAACCUGUCUGUGCGGUCUAUCGCAUGCCUGGUGAAUUCUGUUGUUAUUCCAUUCUUUAUUAUUCUGUUGGAAUAUCCUGUCUGUGUGGAUUACGCAUGACCUGGUUUCAUUCUUUAUUAUUCUGUUGGAAUAUCCUGUCUGUGCGGAUUACGCAUGACCUGGUUCUAUUCUUUAUUAUUCUGUUGGAAUAACCUGUAUGUGCGGUCUAUCGCAUGCAUGGUGAAUUCUUCUGUUAUUCCAUUAUUUAUUAUUCUGUUGGAAUAACCUAUCUAUGUGGAUUACCACAUGCAUGGGGAAUGAUCCUUCGUAUUCAUUCCUUAUUAAAUUGUGGAAAUGAUCUUUCUACAUGGAUUACUGCAUGGCGGGAGAAAAUCCAUUUGCAGUUUUAUAUAUUCUAUUAUACUCAGUUGGUUAAAGUUUUGGCUUCUAUACUCCAUAAAAUUAAUGGAAUAUCCUUGAUAUUUGCGCUUCAUAUAGUAUCUUUUCAUGGAAAUGUUCUUCUGAGCAUUCUUGAAUUUUACUCUACAAAGCAGUAUCAUGUUGACAAUUUGGACAUUAUUGAUUUCUGGAUAAAUUAAAUUAUAAAUCUUUAAAAUUUAUCCUUGAACUUCUUUUAUUGAAUUAUUAUGUCAUUGUCAUCAUCCCCAUGCUUAUAUUGUAACGACCCCAAAAUUCAUUCAAUAUAAUUCUCAGCUUCGGUCGUUAAUAACACAUCUACCUUCUGAUUUUACAUCAUUAUUCGAUGUUAAACUUUAUAUAAUGCGGAAUAAUUUAAACUUUUAUGUAUUUUUUUUACUUUAAUUCCCUGAAUCAAAACCUUUAUCAUCUACAUGUUUUUGAAUCAAUCUUAUUUUAUGAUUCACUUUAUCACUGUUAUUAUAUAAAACUUUACAUUUCAAUCCGAUAACCUGUACAUAUCAGAUAACUCUAACAUUAGCUUUACAACUCAACAUAAAAUUAUACAUCAUAAAACAUUUAGUACAUCUCAUGAAUCUUAAUCAUGGUAUAAAGGAAUAACAACAUUAGCUAAAAUGUAAAUCUUCGUGAAUUAUUUGUGAUCCACGUCAUUCAAGUAGCACAUAGUGUUACCUUCAAUCCUUAACCUGCAAAAAUGGUUAUUUACAAGGUUGAGCUCGACAGCCCAGCAAAAUCUAACAAUUUUCAUGCAUCACAUAGCACAUAAUAACAUGCUCAACAUAUAUGUGAGACCCCAAAGUUUAUGAAUAAAGAUUUAAAUUUCUCAAUUUUUUUUUUAAUAUUAUGAUGUGGAUUUGAUAUAAUGUUAUAGUUGUGGGUAAUAUUUAUAAAUUUUGCAAAGUACGCAAGUUGUUAUAUAAUAUUCAAUUGGUCGGGGAAUAUUCGUUUUAACAGGGAAUAUUCGUAUGGCGACACAAUCAUUGGUGGACCCCACAAUGAAAUUAUUAUCGGAUUGAGAAAACGACAAAAAUAUUUUUAUGAAAAUAACGACGGAAGUUUUACAGUUAAAACUGUUGAGCUACUCGGUAGUAAAAGUACAGUAAUAUGCGUGGUUUCAUAGUAGUACACGGUAUUGAUUAUUGAUGCUUACGUGAGAAGUCAAUCAGUUUUGUUCAAUUAUUGCUACAGUAAUUGUUGCAUAGUAUCUCACGUUAUUUGAUUCAAUUAUUGUCGAUAUUAUAUAUAUUAUUAAAUCAAUAAUUGAGACGACGAAGUUAUUAAUAUUAUUAUUUGCAAUAUUAACGAUGUCUAGAAGUUCUACCAAGGAGAGGUUUGGUCACCUAAUUGCGCGCCAAUAGGGAGAAAUCCUUAUUGGAAAGCCCCCUCUUUCCUGGGAACGACCCGGUCGAUUAAUAGUGUAAAUAAUAAUAAUGAUGAUGAGUUUUGUUUUAUUAGUAUUAUUAAUGUAAUAAAANNNNNNNNNNNNNNNNNNNNNNNNNNNNNNNNNNNNNNNNNNNNNNNNNNNNNNNNNNNNNNNNNNNNNNNNNNNNNNNNNNNNNNNNNNNNNNNNNNNNNNNNNNNNNNNNNNNNNNNNNNNNNNNNNNNNNNNNNNNNNNNNNNNNNNNNNNNNNNNNNNNNNNNNNNNNNNNNNNNNNNNNNNNNNNNNNNNNNNNNNNNNNNNNNNNNNNNNNNNNNNNNNNNNNNNNNNNNNNNNNNNNNNNNNNNNNNNNNNNNNNNNNNNNNNNNNNNNNNNNNNNNNNNNNNNNNNNNNNNNNNNNNNNNNNNNNNNNNNNNNNNNNNNNNNNNNNNNNNNNNNNNNNNNNNNNNNNNNNNNNNNNNNNNNNNNNNNNNNNNNNNNNNNNNNNNNNNNNNNNNNNNNNNNNNNNNNNNNNNNNNNNNNNNNNNNNNNNNNNNNNNNNNNNNNNNNNNNNNNNNNNNNNNNNNNNNNNNNNNNNNNNNNNNNNNNNNNNNNNNNNNNNNNNNNNNNNNNNNNNNNNNNNNNNNNNNNNNNNNNNNNNNNNNNNNNNNNNNNNNNNNNNNNNNNNNNNNNNNNNNNNNNNNNNNNNNNNNNNNNNNNNNNNNNNNNNNNNNNNNNNNNNNNNNNNNNNNNNNNNNNNNNNNNNNNNNNNNNNNNNNNNNNNNNNNNNNNNNNNNNNNNNNNNNNNNNNNNNNNNNNNNNNNNNNNNNNNNNNNNNNNNNNNNNNNNNNNNNNNNNNNNNNNNNNNNNNNNNNNNNNNNNNNNNNNNNNNNNNNNNNNNNNNNNNNNNNNNNNNNNNNNNNNNNNNNNNNNNNNNNNNNNNNNNNNNNNNNNNNNNNNNNNNNNNNNNNNNNNNNNNNNNNNNNNNNNNNNNNNNNNNNNNNNNNNNNNNNNNNNNNNNNNNNNNNNNNNNNNNNNNNNNNNNNNNNNNNNNNNNNNNNNNNNNNNNNNNNNNNNNNNNNNNNNNNNNNNNNNNNNNNNNNNNNNNNNNNNNNNNNNNNNNNNNNNNNNNNNNNNNNNNNNNNNNNNNNNNNNAAUGUUACAAAUGAUGUGGUAAAAGUCCUCAUUGGCCCGUAGUGCAUUGAUGGACAGUUGUUGGCAUGAUCAUGACCAUUGAUGAAUACACGAAUAUCCUUGGCCCGUAGUGUAUGGAUAAUUUGUGGUCAUGAUACUAAUGAAUAUCCUUGGCCGUAGUGCAGGGAUGAUGUGGAUUAUUUAUUAAGCUGAGUUCCAGCGAAAAAAGUGAUGAAAAACCUUUUAAAUCAUAAAAGAUAGUAUAUUUUAUUCUCUACUUGACUAUUCUAAUGGAUUUCUUGUUCCGCUGCAGUUAAACUUGAUGUCUAUUAUAUUUUAUCAGUUUAACAUUGUUGAAGAUUAAUGAUCAUUUAUUCUGCAUUAUCUUAGUCAUAAUAUUUCUUCUAGGCUAGUUGAGCUCACCCUUUCUUUCACUGUUCUCUUCAGGAAAUGGGAACGUAGCCGGGACUAGUCGAGGAACAGAGUGAUGGUCCGAGAUGGUGUCUUAGUAGUCCUCACUAUUCUAUAAAAUAGUGUGAUAAUAAAUGUAAUGAGAACUUAUUCUGAGAGUAGAUAUUGUCUAGAAGACAAUAUUUGUAUUAAAACUCAUAGCUCUUGUUGUUUAUUUAAGAUUGUAUUUGUUUUCUAUACCAUGUAUUUGGCGACUCAGAAUAGGAGAUGUAUACCUAUUUUGGGGGCGACACAAUAUAUCUCAUAAACAUUGGACUAACAUAACAUACAUGUUACAGUUCAUAUAACAAGUAUAAAGAUUAAGUUUCGUACUCAAUCAGCAUUCUUUACUAAAUCAACGUAGUCAUAAGUUGACUUUAACAUUUCAUACAUUCAACAUAUAGAUAACACAUCAUGCUCUUUGCAAUAAAGAUUUAAAACAAUCAAAUUCACAUAGCAAAUAGGAACUGAAAGACUUGCCUUAAUCGUUGUUUACCAAUAACAGUUUAACAGCUUACAGAUAUCUGCACUUCACGUGCCCUACACAAUUAUAUAAUCAUUCACAUUAACUAUUAGUCACAUAACAACGCAUAGUAGUUGUAAUGUAAACUUUAAUUUACGUCUCAUAACCCUUCCUAUCAUAAAUACACAAUGUUCAAUUUGAUUAUGCUAACUUUCGAUUUAUAUCUCACUAUAUUUCAUAUUCAAAGUUCAUUCAAGUGUUUAAGUCUUGAUAGGAAUAAUUACUGGUUUUAUAUUAAACCCAUUUCAUAUCUUAUAAUAUUCAUUUCAUUAGACUUAAAACACUUUUUAUGUUCAUUAUCACUUAUCACGGCAUUUCGACGUUUAUUCAUCACACACCCAAUUUGGCUCUCUUGUGUGUGCUUAGUAUGUGUAUAAAUCUUAUCUAAUAUAUAUCAUUUAUUAAUUUUAAGCAUCAUUAUACUUCAUAGUAUUCAUGUUCUAUAACUUAGAACAACAUCUUUUAUCAUUAAGAGCACUACACUUGCAUACGUGCAUGCCCGACGCCCUCCGAUUGCCUCCGAAAACACAAUAGUCUUAAAAAUGACCAUUUUGACCCUUUUUAAAACCUCAAAUUAAACAAAUUAAAGAAUGAAAGUUGUAGGUCUAUUCGUCCUCGUUCCUGAUCAUCUUGAAUCACCUCAAUUGGAGUUUAUAUGAAAACGUUAUGACCAUUUUACCAAAAUAGGUCAAAGCAGUCACACCUUGCACACUAGGCGCGCGGCCGCUCCCCUUUUCUUCACAAAUACCGUGCGCCCGUGCGACUUGGUAGCGCCCAGCUUCAUGCCUGCGCGCGCGCCCGGCUUCGCACAGAAACAGUUUCCUCAAUGCACAAACAUCAAAUCUUCAUAACUUCUUCAUUUAAAGUCAGAAUUAGUUGGUUUUUGAUUCUAUGAACUCCUGAAACACUGAACAACUCAUAUACAGAGUAAUUUUAACAUUUCAAAAACUUUAAAAAAUCAAUUUAAGGUUUCCAAUUCAAUGUUCAUGCUAUAUUUUCAUGUUUUAAACACAUUUAGCGAAUUCGAUUGUCACGGCUUCGUUUCUUAACCAAUUAACACGAUUUAAACUACGCCGUUUUCGUUUCUUAAUAUACUAACAUAAUCCAAAAUCAAUUUACAGAUUAUAAUAAGUAUUGACCACGAAAUUUUGUACUUUCUAAAGCUAAUUUUCAUGUAAAAACACUGUUAUAAACUUUUCUCCCUAUAAACCCAAAUUUCAUGAAGUUAAUCAUCAAAUAACACUCACAAUUGAUAAUUAGCAGAUUAUAACAACAUACAUACAUGUAUAAAUCCAAUAUAACUACCAAUUUACAGUAGAUAAUCACUAAGAAAUCAAAACCUAGACAUUAGUAGAAAUUUAUACCUUAAAUCCUUGAUUGUUAGGAAGAAGAAUAAUAAAAACCUUGAUACUCCAACUCUUUAGCAACAUAAACAGAGAAUCACUCUCUUCCUCCCAACUCUCUUUCUCUGCUCUAAGGCUUAGGAGAAAGAAAUAAUAAGCGUAAAAAAAAUACUAACUCCCACUAACAUCGGGUCACAAACCCAAAAGUUUGCAUCAGUUAGAAAUAAGUCAAAGGCCACAGGGCCUUGUUUGGCUAACCCCAAAUCUCCUCUACUAGAUUAUUUUAUAUUAUUUUUAUUAUAUAAUUUUUAUUUGUCACACUUGUCACCAACUUAAAUAUUUUACAAUAAUAAUUAUAAUGAUUAUAAUUUUAUUAUAAUUAUUCUGAUAAUUAAUAAAUAAUUAUAUAUCUAAUUUAAUUAAUAAAUUAGAAACAUCACUUUAUUUAAUUUAUUUAUUUCUAAAUAAAUUAAACAAUUCAUUUAAUUUAAUUAUUUCCUUAAAUUAAAUCCUUCAGAUAAAAUUAUCAUUACUCAAUUUAAUUUAUAUUAAUCAAUUUAGUUACUAAAUUAAUUCACCACAAUUUUAUCAACCAUUUAUUUAUCUCAAUAAAUAAAUAAAUUUAACAUAUUUAUUUAAUUCAAUAAAUAUUUAAAAUUAAUUACUAAAUUCAUUUAAUUCCUUCAAUAGUUAACUUAACUAUUAAACCUCACUUUCCCAAUAUAUGAAUAUAUAUUUCUCUUCACACCAGAUCAUAUAUUUCAACAUAUAUAGCACAUAUAUAUACAUACUAAAACUCAAAACAUCUCAUAAUAAUAAUUUUAAUUAUUAAAUUCUUAUUUUAAUAAUUUAUAAAAAUUUAGGUUGUCACAUUUUUCCCUCCUUAUAAGGAUUUUCGUUAAUAACACAUCUAACUUCUGAUUUUACAUCAUUAUUCGAUGUUAAACUUUAUAUAAUGCGGAAUAAUUUAAUCUUUUAUGCCUUUUUUUUACUUUAAUUCCCUGAAUCAAAACCUUUAUCAUCUACAUAUUUUUUAAUCAAUCUUAUUUUAUGAUUCACUUUAUCACUGUUAUUAUUUAAACUUUACAUUUCAAUCCGAUAACCUUUACAUAUCAGAUAACUCUAACAUUAGCUUUACAACUCAACAUAAAACUAUAUAUCAUAAAACAUUUAGUACAUCUCAUGAAUCUUAAUCAUGGUAUAAAGGAAUAACAACAUUAGCUAAAAUAUAAAUCUUCGUGAAUUAUUUCUGAUCCACAUCAUUCAAGUAGCAUAUAGUGUUACCUUCAAUCCUUAACCUGCAAAAAUGGUUAUUUACAAGGUUGAGCUCGACAGCCCAGCAAAAUCUAACAGUUUUCAUGCAUCACGUAGCACAUAAUAACAUGCUAACAUAUAUCUCAUAAACAUUGGACUAACAUAACAUACAUGUUAUAAGUCAUAUAACAAGUAUAAAGAUUGAGUUCCGUACUCAAUCAGCAUGCUUUACUAAAUCAACGUAGUCAUAAGUUGACUUUAACAUUUCAUACAUUCAACAUAUAUAUAACACAUCAUGCUCUUUGUGAUAAAGAUUUAAACCAAUCAAAUUCACACAGCAAAUAGGAACUGAAAGACUUGCCUUGAUCGUUGUUUACCAAUAACAGUUUAACAGCUUACAGAUAUCUGCACUUCACGUGCCCUACACAAAUAUAUAAUCAUUCACAUUAACUAUUAGUCACAUAGCAACGCAUAGUAGUUGUAAUGUAAACUUUAAUUUACGUCUCAUAACCCUUCCUAUCAUAAAUACACAAUAUUCAAUUUGAUUGUGUUAACUUUUGACUUAUAUCUCACUAUAUUUCAUAUUUGAAGUUCAUUCAAGUGUUUAAGUCUUGAUAGGAAUCAUUAUUGGUUUUAUAUUAAACCCAUUUCAUAUCUUAUAAUAUUCAUUUCAUUAGACUUAAAACACUUUUUAUGUUCAUUAUCACUUAUCACGGCGUUUUGACGUUUAUUCAUCACACGCCCAAUUGGCUCUCUUAUGUGUGCUUAGUAUGUGUACAACUUAUCUAAUAUAUCAUUUAUUAAUGUUAAGCAUCAUUAUACUUCAUAAUAUUCAUGUUCUAUAACUUAGAACAACAUCUUUUAUCGUCAAAAGCACUACACUUGCAUACGUGCAUGCCUGACGCCCUCCGAUUGCCUCCGAAAACACAAUAGUCUUAAAAAUGACCAUUUUGACCCUUCUUAAAACCUCAAAUUAAAAACCUUAAAGAAUGAAAGUUGUAGGUCUAUUCGUCCUCGUUCCUGAUCAUCUUGAAUCACCUCAAUUGGAGUUUGUAUGAAAACGUUAUGACCAUUUUACCAAAAUAGGUCAAAGCAGUCACACCUUGCACACUAGGAGCGCGGCUGCGCCCCUUUUCUUCACAAAUACCGCGCGCUGGCACGACUUGGCAGCGCCCAGCUGCGUACCCAUGCCCGGCUUCGCACAGAAAUAGUUUCUUCAAUGUACAAACUUCAAAUCUUCAUAACUUCUUCAUUUUAAGUCGGAAUUAGUUAGUUUUUGAUUCUAUGAACUCGUGAAACACUGAACUACUCAUCUACAGAGUAAUUUUAACAUUUCAAAAACUUUAACAAAUCAGUUUAAGGUUUCCAAUUCAAUGUUCAUGCUAUAUUUUCAUGUUUUAAACACAUUUAGCGAAUUCGAUCGUCACAGCUUCGUUUCUUAACCAAUUAACACGAUUUAAACUACGCCGUUUUUGUUUCUUAAUAUACUAACAUAAUCCAACAUCAAUUUACAGAUUAUAACAAGUAUUAACCACGAAAGUGUGUACUUUCUAAAGCUAAUUUUCAUGUAAAAACACUGUUAUAAACUUUUCUCCCUAUAAACCCAAAUGUCAUGAAGUUAAUCAUCAAAUAACACCCACAAUUGAUAAUUAGCAGAUUAUAACAACAUACAUACAUGUAUAAAUCCAAUAUAACUACCAAUUUACAGUAGAUAAUCACUAAAAAAUCAAAACCUAGACAUUAGUAGAAAUUUAUACCUUAAAUCCUUGAUUGUUGGGAAGAAGAAUAAUAAUAACCUUGAUACUCCAACUCUUUAGCAACAUAAACAGAGAAUCACUCUCUUCCUCACAACUCUCUUUCUCUGCUCUAAAAGCUUAGGAGAAAGAAAUAAUAAGCGUAAAAAAAAUACUAACUCCCACUAACGUCAGGUCACAAACCCAAAAGUUUGCGUCAGUUAGAAAUAAGUCAAAGGCCACAGGGCCUUGUUUGGCUAAUCCCAAAUCUCCUCUACUAGAUUAUUUUAUAUUAUUUUUAUUAUAUAGUUUUUAUUUAUCACACUUGCCACCAACUUAAAUAGCUUACAAUAAUAAUUAUAAUAAUUAUAAUUUUAUUAUAAUUAUUCUGAUAAUUAAUAAAUAAUUAUAUAUCUAAUUUAAUUAAUAAAUUAGAAACAUCACUUUAUUUAAUUUAUUUAUUUCCAAAUAAAUUAAACAAUUCAUUUAAUUUAAUUAUUUUCUUAAAUAUUAAGCAAUUGAUUUAAUUUAAUUAUUUCCUUAAAUUAAAUCCUUCAGAUAAAAUUAUCAUUACUCAAUUUAAUUUACAUUAAUCAAUUUAGUUACUAAAUUAAUUCACCAUAAUUUUAUCAACCAUUUAUUUAUCUCAAUAAAUAAAUAAAUUUAAAAUAUUUAUUUAAUUCAAUAAAUAUUUAAAAUUAAUUACUAAAUUCAUUUAAUUCCUUCAAUAGUUAACUUAACUAUUAAACCUCACUUUUCCAAUAUAUGAAUAUAUAUUUCUCUUCACACCAGAUCAUAUAUUUCAACAUAUAUAGCACGUAUAUAUACAUACUCAAACUCAAAACAUCUCAUAAUAAGAAUUUUAAUUAUUAAAUUAUUAUUUUAAUAAUUUAUAAAAAUUCGGGUUGUCACAUAUAUUGUGAUUAAAGUCAUCUUUGGCUUACGUGCAUAGAUGGACUUGGUAUGAUUAUGACCAGGGAUUAUUCGGUAUAAUCAUAUGACCGUAAUGUGAUGAAUGAUGUGGUAAAAGUCCUCAUUGGCCUGUAGUUCAUUGAUGGACAGUUGUUGGUAUGAUUAUGACCAGGGAUUAUUCCGUAUAAUCAUGACCAUUGAUGAUUACAUGAAUAUCCUUGGCCGUGGUGCGUGGAUGAGGUGGUUUAUUUAUUAAGCUGAGUCUCUGCAAUAAAGUUGAUGAAUUUUUUUUAAAUCAUAGAAAAUAGUAGAUUUUAUGCUCUACUUGACUCUUCUAAUGGAUUGCAUGUUCCAUUGCAGUUAAACUUGUUGUCUAUUAGAUUAUAUCAGUUUAACAUUAUUGAAGGCUAAUGAUAAUUUAUUCUGUAUUAUCUUAGUCAUAAUAUUUCUUACUGGGCUAGUUGAGCUAACCCUUCGCUUUCAUUGUUCUCUUCAGGAAAUGAGAAUAUAGCUGGGACUAGUCGGGGAACGGAGUGACGGUCCAGAUGAUAGCAGUAGUAGUCCUCACUAUUCUGUUAAAUAGUGUUAUAAUAAAUGUAAUGAGGACUCCAUUGAGUGUGGAUAUUGUCUAGAUGACAAUAUUCUUAUUAAAACUCUUAUAUUAUGUUUUGUCGUAUUUUACACGACUGUUGUAUAAUUAAGUUGUAUUUUAUUCGAGAUGGGUGAUGUAUAUCUAUUUUGGGGGCUUCACAACUUAUCCUUCCUUAGUGUCUCCAGCACUAUUCUUAGGUGUUCAGCAUGAUCUUCUGGCAUCUUAGAAUAGACUAGAAUAUCAUUUGUUAGGAAUAGGUAUGUGAAUGAUAUUCCUAUUUACAUAUGGUUUGAUUAUAAUAUAUAUAUGAAUGAAUAUGCAAGUAUGCUUGCAUUAAGAAAAGUUGUAAAGUCCUUUGAUAGGUUAUAGAUACAUAUGUACAAGGACUUAAAAUGAAUUGAUCAAAUAUGUUAGGUUGAUCCUACAUAAGCAAAACAGCUUUGUAAAGUCCUUAAAAAAAGAAAUGAUGUACAAGGACUAUAAAUAUAGAAAGAUCAAACAUGUUAGGUUGAUCUUAUGAUGUAAUAGAUAAGCUUGUCUGGUCGUCGAGCACUGCACCAGAAAUCGUAGUCUGCCAAGAGAGUCAAGGAAAACUCGAGAGCUAUCGAGGCAGAAUCGUAGUCUGCAAGACAGUAGAUCUUGAAGUUCGUAGACUUCUAGGAGAGACGAGGAAGGAUUGUAGUGUGUCGAGGAGUACUUCCUCAGAGCCGUAGUCUGCUGAGGAGGUCAUGUUCAGAAUCGUAGAGAUAGCCUGCCUACGAGCCGACCGAGCAUCUGUCGAAGCCAAGUCAAGAAUCGUAGACUACACUCGGAGUCGUAGAGUCUACUGAUGUCAAAGCCAAGUAAAGAAUCGUAGACUACACUCAGAGUUGUAGAGUCUGCAGAUCAUAUCAGAGGCAGAGAUCGUAGUCGAGCAAGAUCAGAUGAAGACAACAAGCACAACGACAGAAAUUGUAGAGUGUCAAGAUCUGAUCUCGGAGUCGUAGUGUCUGCACAGCCGAAGCUGAAUCGUAGAGUGCAGAACUAAGACCUCAACAGAUGUGCUCACAAUGCCAAGCCAGAAUCGUAAUGCAAAUAUGAUUCUCAACAAAUGAGCACUCCCAGAAUAUCCAAAGGAAUGAAGCCUCUGGUUGGUACUGUAAGGAUACAUCUCACCUAAAGGAAGCCAGAGAGCACUCAACGAAUGACAUGCAAGCUAUUAGAAAAUCUAAGCAUCAACUUAAUCAGCAUCCAGAUUGAGUUGUGAAGCCAUUCAUGAUAAAGUCUUCCACAAGAUGAUCAUAAGAAGACUUUAGCAGCUGACUAAGGAAAGUCAGCUUGUGCAGUAGCUGUUAAAUAGAAAGAUGACAAUGAUCUUGGAAGUAACUAGGAUCGUAGUGUUUGCCAAACGAAGAAGGAACUAAUGGAGUAUAUACAAAGAUACUGGUCUGCCUCUGAAGAACAAGGCUAAAGUGAUUAAGCUUUGGGUCUGUCUAUUGAUAAUAAGUGAACGGGAGAUCACAAGGAGAAAGCGAGCUGGACACGCCACAAACCUGAAGUGUCUUAUUAUUUAGAAGGGGCCAGAGCAAGGAGUCAAGCCAUCAGUAUCUGAGAACAGUUGAGGCAAAAGAAGGAAGAAUUGCUUUUCACUAGAGAUAAAGUGAACGCUCUUCAAGAUCAUAGUGUUGACUCUACAUGUCAAUAAGCAUCAGUCAAUAAGACACUACGAUCAGGUCCAAGAAGUUAUGCAUCAGAAUCAUAGAGUUCGAACAACUGAGGAUUGAAGCAUUGGCAACGGUUCAAUCUGAAGGUUGGUAAUCGGACAAGAGCUUAUUAAGAGCAUCGAUGCAAAAGGACAACCUUUGAUCUAGAAAUCAGAAGGGGGAAAUAAAGUCGUUGACAUGCCCGAGACAUCAAAGUAACAUCUCUAACGGGGUAGGUGAAAUAUUAGACUGCAGUGUCAGAAAGUCAUGUCAUGUCACAUCUGCAGUCUACACCAAACAACUCGAGAUCUGUGUAGCAAUUUGAAUAGCUCUCAACGGCUACUUUCCAACGGGAAGAUUGACAAGGAGUUUAAAUCAGAAAGAGCUUCAAAGAUCAAGGGUUGCUGGAGUUCCUGAGUUUAGAGAAGUGGUGGACUGAUCUAACCAACGUAAAUAGUGAGUGACCAAUGAAGGUCUGAAGACUCACUCUACGAUCCACCAAGAACACUUAGAGACAGAAAAAUAAAGAAGUAGAAGUGAGAGUUCUACUAUAAAAAGAGUGUUCUGAACUGUCGGGUGAUAGAAGAGCAUCAAUGUCAUCUUGAUGUCCAUCAUGAGAAGACUCUAAGUACCAUAGAGAAGAGCUCACAGUCAUCUUAGUAAGUCCAUCAUGAGAAGGCAUCAAGUAUCAAGAAAGAAUAUCACCAAUGCCAUCAUGGUGGCAAGCAUGAGAAAGUUUCUAAGUACCUAGCAGAAGAGCUUACAGUCAUCUUAGAAACCCAUCAUGUGCAGCCAUCAAGUAUCAAGAGGAAUGAUCUUCAAGGUAGUUCAUCAAGGGAUCAUCAGAAGUGGUUGAGUUACCGAAGAAGCUGAACAUCAUGCAACACUCAACUGCACUUCAAGAAUGAUCACGCCAAGCUGCUAAGUACAAAAGAUGUUAAGAGCUUAAAGAUAUCUUAGCAGCUCUACACCAACAACAGCAACAACUACAACAACAAGAAGCCAGGGCCUGAGGGGUCCUUGUCUGGAGAGACUAAAUGAAGUUCCAAGCCUGCUGGGCUUGAAGAGUUCCUAGGGAACUAGAGAAGUUCCGAGGCUGCUGGCCUUGAAGAGUUCUUAGUGAACUGAAGUCCAAAGGCUGCUAGUGUUGAAGGAAUCAUAGUGAUUCAGGGUGCUACCCUUCCUUAGUGGAAAUCCUGCUAGUUGAAAAUAGAAGAGUGGAUUAGGAGCUUGAGUCUCUGAGCCACUUAAAACCUCUUGUGUCUUUUACUUUAUAUCAUUUACAUUAUAUAUAUUAACUGCUAUAACGGCUAUGUAUGUUUUAACUGCUUACCAUUGAACUAACUCUGCGAACAAUGUAUAUAUGAUUAUGAUUAUAUCAAUGAAGGGGAUCUUUUACUUAUUCCGAUGUGCUUGAAAAGAUUCUUAUGUUUGUCAUAUGCUAAAUUAUUAGCAAUACAAAAUAAACCAUAAAAGUAUUUAAAAUUAAAAAGGAUCUAUUCAACCCCCCCCCCCUUCUAGAUCUAUUGUGCCUACUGGGAACUAACAAUUGGUAUCAGAGCAGGUUCUCAUGCUAUUUUCAAAAGCUAAUCUCUUUGAGUCUGAUCCUAGGCACAAACAUUGCUCUAAACUUAGUUUAGUAGUAAGUCACUUGUUAUAUGCAGAUGAGCUCACAUGUUGGAAAUAUUGUGUACAGGUAAAUGUGUAUAUACACCUGAAGCUGCUCAGAUUGGUCCAUGCUCUUGAUUGUCAUAUACAAGACCAAUUCUUGUCUGUGGUCAAUCUUGUAGUCUGAAGACCAGGCUAGGAAGCUCUAGAGACAUGAACAGAAAAGAGUCAAACAUCCACUAGGCUGAAAAGAUGAAAAGGCCAUACAUGCAAAGAAAUGCUCAUCCAGAGAAGAAAGAAGAACUUCUCAAACAUGUGUCUGGCCAACCAGUAGCUGGAUGUAAACCUUGUGAACUCAAGGAUGCCGAAGAACUGAAGAUGUUGAGAUUCUCUUAGCUUACAUCCUCAAGAUCAUGACUGAUUGAUUGAAGGUCAACUGGAGCAACAAGCUGUCAGGAGCAAAUGAGAAACUAUGCACAUCAAUGCCUAAUCUCAGUAUGUCAAAGUUAAAUGACUGUUAAGGAACUAAUAGUAGAAAGGUACGGUUCCUCACUAGUAUAACUGUGUACAUCAUAUUGCACCUCCUUAUGAACUAUGACAAUAUUCUUUCAAGUAAUCAUAAUCUACCUAAAAAGGUGAAGAGAGAAAGUACAAUGAGGGUGGAAACUCAAAUGCCUAUAAACUUUAUCUCCAUCCAAGUUUUAGGUUGAAGAUGACAUCAUGAAAGAAAUCUGAAAUGGGUCAUAAGAGCAUCACAUGUUAAAUUAAUUUUAUGUGAAGUAAUCUUUGUUGAUGGGUUAGUAUGUAUGUACAACCUAUGUUCUAAGUGUUUAAUAACACAUAGAGUAUGAUCAGUUCUACAAGAGUAUCUUGAAGAUUCGUAGAAACUGAUCACCUCCAUGAAUCAACCAGAUACAAAUAAAUCGUAGAGUUGAUUCUCACUUUGAACAUUUAAACCCUGUGAACAUAACCUAGAAAAUGAUGAAACCAUCAAAGAAAAAGAGUGUUUUAUUAAAAUAGCAAAUCUUACACACACUCACCAUUAUCAUGCAUCUCAAAAUGUAUUAUCUAAAUUAGUUACAUGCAUGAAUAUGACUGUUGGUGAUCAAUAUGAUGAUUAUCCAAAUAGAUGAGGAACAGGGGUUUAGAAAACUAACCUAGCAGGACCCAUCUAACCAUGGGUACCAAAAAUUGAAAUUCAUAACCUGCAGGUAUUUGGUCUAUCUGGCCACACUAAGGAAUGCUAAGUAGAAGAUUUUAGUCAAGAAGAUUCAACUAGCAGAAGGCUUAAGACUAUUCAGAAAUGAGUCUGAUAAAACUCCUAUAUGUCAAAGCCUGUCCUUGAAGACCUGCUGAGCUGAUCUGAAUAAAGCUCACAUGGCUGCUGAUCUUUAUAUAGAAGCAGGCCAUUCAACCAAAGAUGAAAAAGGGUCUUAGAUUCUUAAUCAUACAAAGCAUGUAAUAAUAGAAGAAUCCUCACGAAGCUCACCACAGAGGAUCAUCGAGCAUCAAACAUGAGGAACUCAUUACGAGAGCAAAACUCCACAAGUACAAACUAUAAAAGAAGACUACGUUCGUAGUGCUGUCAAAUGAUCGUAGAAUGAUCAGUCCUGGAGAUAUCCUUGUCUACGAUGUAAACAAAUUUGACUGUCAGUGGCAAUUCCAGUCAGAAGGAGAUAUGCAGGGAUGCUUCCUAAUGCACAUGAAGAAAAAGAAAUCAUACCUCACUAAGAAGAUAGUAUAAACAUAGGGAAGCAAUGAUCUGAUAAGAAACAACAGAACUGAGAUAUACUAUGAAGCAGCGUACCAGCUAUAGAGUCCCAAAUCUUUGUGGCUGAUGAACGAAAUGAAGAUCCGUAGUCAGUAGGAACGUCUCAAAACGUACUACUGAUAACCUAUCAGUCACCCAACUCAAAAUCGUGGAGUGCCUACGAUCAAACAUCUGAUCGUAGUGUAAGAGCAGGAGAACACCACGAUUACAGCAAAUGCAAUUGUCUAAAGUUGGAAGAGGAACUCCCCAGUAGAAAAGGUCAAAUGAGAUAUCAGUGCAAAUCGUUUCUAAAAGUAUUUCAUCUAGAAAGCGCCUCAGGGACAAACCUGACCCUUAGCUCACUCUAAGAGGUUGGCCCUUCGUGAGCUACCUUAACCCAGAAGGAUUGCUUAGCCAAGUUCAUCUCAAGGACCAAGAUAGUCAACGAUCGUAGAGUAAAGGUAGAAGUAAACUCAACGAUCGUGGAGUAACCUCAACGAUCGUAGAAGCAGACUCGAAGAUCGCAGUCUUACAUGAGGAUACUCUAGCUCAUGAGGAGCUUGGAAGAACGAGAAAAUUGCUCAACCAUUCAGAUUAUGAGGAGAUAAGUUCGAAUGUUGGUUGGAAAGAUGUCCGGCUGAAGAGAAGUGCCCAAGGCUUCAUAAAGUACAUCAGUGGUUGAGCUAUGCAGUUUCAACAUGAGGAGAAAUGUCAAAACCAUCCACUGCAGCAUCUCUCAAAAUAUGAUCGUUGAGUCAAUAAAGGAAAACGUAGAGUCCAUAGCUGCCUUAUCAUGCUUCUCUAUGAACCAAAAUGGUCAACGGUUAAUCCACAUCAUUGAUGCCAGUUUGUUUCAAAAAGGGACAUUAAACUGAAGAGUUAAUGGGGGAGUUACCGCUCAUUACUGGGCAUCGUGCAACCAAUGGUUGAUUGACACAUCACAGAGUAUGCAAAGUUCGAAGGAACUGCCAUAAAGGAAAAUUCAAAUUAGCAAAUAGUUAUCAGAAUCUAUCGAACCUCUCUCCCUCCCAUUUUCAAACCCUAGAAUCCUCUGAAACGCAAAAAUCAAUUAACCCUCCAGAGCCUUGCCUAAAUCGCAAUCAGCCAUCUCUCAUAAACUCCUCUAAAUCAAAUACCCAUAUUCCUCGAACUAUUUAAAUGGAAGAUUAACGGAUAAUCACUGGCAUUCAGCUCGGAACCAAGUCGUUUGAAAAAUUCAAAAAGAAGUUCAGAGACAUUCUCGAACUUGUGAAGAAAGCAGGAUUCUCAGAAUGUCUUGAGGCUAGCACUCGAGUAUACACUAAACUAAUCAAGGAAUUCUACUCAAAUGCAUCCAUAAAUGUCGAAACACUUUCAGCCAAGGUUAAAGGUCAGUCUCUUAAGCUGAAAUCAUCCGAUAUCAAUCAAUGCUUAGGUUUCCCUGACCUAGGAUUGAGAAACCUUGAUGAGAUCAAAACUGAGCAAGCAAAGGAGAUUGUGGGGUACCAAAGAAACCCCAGUCUAAAGGAUAUGAAGAAAAAGGAGUUCCCUGAGGAAUUCGAGUUCCUUGCUGAAAUAGUGGGAAAAAGCAUACUAUGCAAGGACACUACACACGACACGGUGCUUGAUCAACAGUUAAAGAUCAUGUCUGCUAUAGUCUUGAAGAAACGAAUUAACGUUGGAAUUAUCCUGCUUGAUCAAAUAUCCAAAUGGGUAGAGAAGGCUGAAUUGAAGAGGUCUACAGAAAAACCACUUACAAAAGUGUUUGAUGGAAGACUACUGAGCAUUGUGCUGAAGAAGAAAUUGGGAAACAAAAUCAAGGAUGAUGAGGGAGAACCUCUGAAUGUUCACAAAGUAAUGUCUCCACAAUUGUUUAUGAAUUGGAAGAAAAACCCAAAGGAGAAUAGAAGGCUGACAACUGGGAGCAGUAGCAAGGCCUCUACAAAGAAGAUGAAAGCAAAAGAGGUAGAAAUCUUUGAGUCCGAUGAUCCUGUACCAGCAACAACCACACCAGCCAGACAGAAAUCCAAAGGUGUGAGGAAAACUGGGGCUCCUCCAAAAAGUCUAUCCACAGAAGACAAGGUUGAAGUUGAAAAGGUCUCAACUGCAGAGACCACUAAAAGGAGAAGUAAUAGAUUACUUCAAGGGCCAUCCAGCAAGAAAGCUAAGAUGGUAAAUAGUUCAGUCUCAACUUACGAAGAAAGUACGUCUGACAAAGAAAAGGAUGUAGAGUCAAAAGAAGAGAAGGCAACUGAUAAUCCCAAUGCUGAGCCUCCACAGACCAAAUCCAGCAAUGAAGGUUAAACUGGAUUAAUGGAAGAAAAUGCAGCAUUUGCUGAUGAAGAAGAAUACACAAGCCCCCAGAGCAUUCACUCUGAUGAUAAAGACAAGAUACAAGUUGACCCAACUGCAUCUCCAAAUGCAAAUGCUCCAACCAGCCCAGAUGAUGGAUCAAAUGAUGCUAAUUCUAAUGAAGAAGGAAAUGCCCCCACUAUUGUUGAACGUCAAGAAAGUCUGUUUGAUGAUGCAGAAGCUUCAGAGUCUGACGAAGAAGAGGAGUCUGAAACUCCUAUAGCUGAACUUCUAACAAGAAGAAAGAGCUAAAGAUUACUUGCUCAAAUUGCCUCCAAAAGGAAAAAUGAUCACUCUAAUGCUGUCAUUGAAUUAAGUGAUGAUGAGUCUGUAUCACAGGAAGUAAGUGCUAAGGAAGGAACCAGUGAUGAAGAAGAUGAAUCAGAGGAAGAUCUUGCUGAAGAAGGUUCUGGAAAUGAAAUGCAGCAAGAAGGAUUCAUUGAUGGAAACGAUCAAAAUGUUUCAGGCUCCGAAAGAGAAGAAAUGGAGAAUGAUUUCAACUCUGCAAAUCAGGAAUCAGAGGAUCCAACAGACUAUCCAGUCCUCUCUCCUGCAAGAAUCAGUAGAAGAAUUGUGGUAGAAGUCCUUAAUCAACCAGAAGAACUCCUAGCUGAAAGAUGGGUAAAAUAUGGAAACGAACAUCUCAAAGUUGUAAGGAUGACUGCACAAGAUAUAUUCAAAAACUGGAACAACAUGGAGCUAGACUGCACGACCAUCCUCUACAAUCCUGAUGACCUGCUAAUGAGAUGGUUCUUCCAUGGAUGCCUUGGCUAAAGGCACAUACUGAAAAGGAUGAAAGUUACUUCAGCUGGUGCUACUCUCAAUUUCCAAGCAUAGAGCUGGUGGCACAAAACUUCCCAAGAGUGAAGAGUUUUGCUACAAUGAUAUCACAAACCAGCCUCACUACAAGGUCUACAGACAUGCCGGCAACCACUAUAUCCCCUACGAUCGUAGGAUGGACUCAAAAGGAAGAAGGAUCAUGACCAAGGAAAUAAUCGUAGAGUCAGUUCACUCUACUACUGAUGGUAUCAAAGUACAAAAUAAGAAGCUUCCAUCUGCUCAAGCACUACUGACAGACAUUCUUUCAUCCUCAACCAGUGAUUGGAACUCAACGAUUCUUUAGAUUUUUAACACCUUCGAAAAUCUGUCCAAGGAAGCAGAUCGUAGAGUUCAAUCUGAUGCUCAACAAGGGGCUGCCCAACCAGAUGAUUAAAUAUCUGUGGAGAAGGAGCUGAUGAAAAAUUCUGAUGAACUGAUUGAGAAAAUAUCUCUAUUCACUGAAGAGUCAAAGAAGCUGACAACAAUAGAAGAUAACUCAGUUCAAGAGAGACUCCAAGCAAUGAUGGCUGAUUUAUCUCUCAAAAUCAAAGAAAGAGAUCACAUCUAUCUAAAGACCAUGAAUGAUCAGAAGGUAGAUGCACUACAAGCGAAGAAGGCAAAUGAAGAACAACUCCAAGUCCUCUCUGACAAGAUUGACAACAUGAAUCAGUCUUUCUCAGUACAACUUGAGCUAGGACAACAAGAACUCAAGAUUGAACUUGGUAAUUCCUCCUACCUGAUAGAGAAACUAAUGUCCAACAUGGAGCAGCUCUCCCAAGUGAUUAAUGACAAAAAGGGGGAGAAAAAGAGGCAUAGAAAUGGGAAGAAUAAGAGGCACUCUAGAAAGAGCAAGAAGAGCAGAAGGAAAUAAGAGAAGAAGUCAGUAGAAGAAGAAGUUGGGUCAUCAUCUGAGGGGGAGACAAAGGAUGAUAAACCUGUGUUUGCAAAGGCUGAGGGGGAGCCAGAAGAAGAAGAAGAGAAACAUGCAUCUGAGGGGGAACAAACAAAAGAGAUGAAGUCCACAUCCCAGAGGGAGCAGGAGCAAACAGAUCAAACAGAGGAAUAGUUGAUCAAUAGAUAUCCUAGAAAUAUACAUGGAGCUAAAGAGGUACAUCUCUAACUAGUUAGGUAUGUUUAGGAUCCAGGAUGUAAAAUGUCAGUGUAUUAAAUUUCAUAUCAUUAUAAAUGACAUUCAUGAUUAUCUAUUUUAGAAAUACAGCUGCUCACUGUAUAUAAGAUUCAUUCAUAACAUGCAUAUGCACUUAUUGUUUUUGUCAUAAUCAAAUAGGGGGAGAUUGUUAGGAAUAAGCAUGUGAAUGAUAUUCCUAUUUAUAUAUGAUUUGAUUAUAAUAUAUAUAUAUAUAUAUAUAUAUGAAUGAAUAUGCAAGUAUGCUUGCAUUAAGAAAAGCUAUAAAGUCCUUUGAUAGAUUAUAGAAACAUAUGUACAAGGACUUAGAAUGAAUUGAUCAAAUAUGUUAGGUUGAUCCUACAUAAGCAAAAUAGCUUUGUAAAGUCCUUAAAAAAAGAAAUAAUGUACAAGGACUAUAAAUAUAGAAAGAUCAAGCAUGUUAGGUUGAUCUUAUGAUGUAAUACAUAGGCUUGUCUGGUCGUUGAGCACUGCACCAGAAAUUGUAGUCUGCCAAGAGAGUCAAGGAAAACUCGAGAGCUAUCGAGGCAGAAUCGUAGUCUGCAAGACAGUAGAUCUUGGAGUUUGUAGACUUCUAGGAGAGACGAGGUAGGAUUGUAGUCUGUUGAGGAGUACUUCCUCGGAGUCGUAGUCUGCUGAGGAAGUCAUGUUCAGAAUCGUAGAGACAGCCUGCCUACGAGCCGACCGAACAUCUGCCGAAGCCAAGUCAAGAAUCGUAGACUACACUCGGAGUCGUAGAGUCUACUGAUGUCAAAGCCAAGUCAAAAAUCGUAGACUACACUCAGAGUUGUAGAGUCUACAGAUCAUAUCAGAGGUAGAGAUCGUAGUCGAGCAAGAUCAGAUGAAGACAACAAGCAUAAUGACAAAAAUCGUAGAGUGUCAAGAUCUAAUCUCGGAGUUGUAGUGUCUGCACAGCCGAAGCUGAAUCAUAGAGUGCAGAACUAAGACCUCAACAGAUGUGCUCACAAUGCCAAAUCAGAAUCGUAGAGCAAAUACGAUUCUCAAUAAAUGAGCACUCCCAGAAUAUCUAAAGGAAUGAAGCCUUUGGUUGGUACUGUAAGGAUACAUCUCACCUAAAGGAGGCCAGAGAGCACUCAACGAAUGGCAUGCAAGCUAUUAGAAAAUCUAAGCAUCAACUUAAUCAGUAUCCAGAUUGAGAUGUGAAGUCAUUCAUGAUAAAGUCUUCCACAAGAUGAUCAUAAGAAGACUUCAGUAGCUGACUAAGGAAAGUCAGCUUAUGUAGUAGCUGUUAUAUAGAAAGAUGACAAUGAUCUUGGAAGUAAUCAGGAUCGUAGUGUUUGCCAAACGAAGAAGGAACUAAAGGAGUAUAUACAAAGAUACUGGUCUGCCUCUGAAGAACAAGGCAAAAGUGAUUAAGCAUUGGGUCAGUCCAUUGAUGAUAAGUGAAUGGGAGAUCACAAGGAGAAAGAGAGCUGGACACGCCAUAAACCUGAAGUGUCUUGUUAUUCAGAAGGGGCCAGAGCAAGGAGUCAAGCCAUCAGUAUCUGAGAACAGUUGAGGCAAACAGAAGUGUUGAAGCAUUGCACGAAAGAAGGAAGAGUUAUUUUUCACUAGAGAUCAAGUGAACGCUCUUCAAGAUCGUAGUUUUGACUCUACAUGUCAAUAAGCAUCAGUCAAUAAGACACUACGAUCAGGUCUAAGAAGUUAUGCAUUAGAAUCGUAGAGUUCAAACAACUGAGGAUUGAAGCAUUGUCAACGGUUCAAUCUGAAGGUUGGUAAUCGGACAAGAGCUUAUUGAGAGCAUUGAUGCAAAAGGACAACCUCUGAUCUAGAAAUCAGAAGGGGGAAAUAAAGUCGUUGACAUGCCCAAGACAUCAAAGUAACAUCUCUGACAGGGUAGGUGAAACAGUAGACUGCAGUGUUAGAAAGUCAUGUCAUGUCACAUCUGCAGUUUGCACCAAACAACUCGAGAUCUGUGAAGCAAUUUGAAUAGCUCUCAGCGGCUACUUUCCAACGUGAAGAUUGGCAAGGAGUAUAAAUCAGAAAGAGCUUCAAAGAUCAAGGGUUGCUGGAGUGAGUUGCUAAGUUUGGAGAAGUGGUGGACUGAUCUAACCAAUGUAAAUAUUGAGUGACCAAUGAAGGUCUGAAGACUCACUCUACGAUCCACCAAGAACACUUAGAGACAGAAAAAAGAAAGAAGUAGAAGUGAGAGUUCUACAAUGUAGAAGUGAGAGUUCUACUACAAAAAGAGUGUUCUGAACUGCCGAGAGAUAGAAGAGCAUCAAUCUCAUCUUGAAUACCAUCAUGAGAAGACUCUAAGUACCAUAGAGGAGAGCUCACAUUCAUCUUAGCAAGUUCAUCAUGAGAAGGCAUCAAGUAUCAAAAAAGAAUAUCACCAAUGCCAUCAUGGUGGCAAGCAUGAGAAAGUUUCUAAGUACCUAGCAGAAGAGCUUAAAGUCAUCUUAGAAACCCAUCAUGUGCAGCCAUCAAGUAUCAAGAGGAAUGAUCUUUUAAGGAAUUUCAUCAAGGGAUCAUCAGAAGUGGUUGAGUUACUAAAGAAGAUGAACAUCAUGCAACACUUAACUGCACUUCAAGAAUGAUCACGCCAAGCUGCUAAGUACAUAAGAUGUUAAGAGCUUAAAGACAUCUUAACAGCUAUACACCAACAACAACAACUACUACAACAACAAGAACCCAGGGCCUGAGGGGUCCUUGUCCGGAGGGACUAAAUGAAGUUCCAAACCUGCUGGGCUUGAAGAGUUCCUAGGGAACUAGAGAAGUUCCAAGGCUGCUAGCCUUAAAGAGUUCUUAGUGAACUGAAGUCCCAAGACUGCUGGCCUUGAAGGAAUCAUAGUGAUUCAGGGUGCUGCCCUUCCAUAGUGGAAAUCCUGCUAGUUGAAAUCAGAAGAAUGGAUUAGGAGCUUGAGUCUCUGAACCACUUAAAACCCCUUGUGUCUUUUACUUUAUGUCAUUUACAUUAUGUACAUUAACUGCUAUAACUGCUAUGCAUGUUUUAACUGCUUACCAUUGAACUAACUCCAUGAACAAUGUAUGUAUGAUUAUGAUUAUAUCAAUGAAGGGGAUCUUUUACUUAUUUUGCUGUGCUUGAAAAGAUUCUUAUGUUUGUCAUAUGCUAAAUUAUUAGCAAUACAAAAAUAAACCACAAAAGUAUUUGAAAUUAAAAAGGAUCUAUUCAACCCCCCCCCCCCCUUCUAGAUCUAUUGUGCCUACUGGGAACUAACAUUAUCAAUAAACAUCACGAUGAACUUGUCCAAAUAUUAUUUGAACACCAUGUUCAUCAUAUCCAUAAAUACAGUUGGUGCAUUAGUCAACCCAAAUGAUAUCACCAGAAACUCGUAAUGACCAUAACGAGUUCUGAAUGCCGUCUUUGGUACAUCCUCAUUCCUAACUUUCAAUUGGUGAUACCCCAUCCUCAAAUCUUUUUUAGAAAAAUACUUAGCCCCUUUCAACUGAUCAAAAAGAUCAUCGAUCCAGGGCAAUGGGUAUUUAUUCUUUAUUGUUAACUUGUUCAACUCUCUGUAGUCGAUACAAAGUCUUAACGAUCCGUCCUUCUUCUUUACAAAUAGUACCGGUGCUCCCCACGGCGAAACACUCGGUUGUAUGUACUUCAUAUCCAACAGUUCUUGUAACUGUACCAUUAACUCCUUCAUCUCCACUGGCGCCAUACGAUACGGUGCCCUGGAAACUGGUGCCACUCCUGGCAUAAUGUCUAUUACAAACUCAAUCUCCCUAUCCGGUGGAAGACCCGACAAUUCACUCAGAAAUACAUCCGUGAAUUCUUUAACUAUAGGUAUUUGUUCCAUGGUUGCUCCCACUCUCUGGGUAUCAACAACGUGGCACAAAUAACCUACACAUCCCUUCCUUAAUAAUUUCCUAGUUUGUGUCAUGGUAAGACAACACGAAUGCCCCAUCGAUCUAUUCCCAUAAAAUACUACCUGAGGUUGUCUCAACGUUCUAAUGUUCACACAUUUCUUCUGACAAUCUAUAAUUUCCCCAUGGUUAACCAACCAAUCCAUUCCAAGAAUUACAUCGAAUUCUCCUAACUUUAUCGGUAUUAAAUAUACCGAUAAUUUACAACCCCGUAUGUCUACGUAACAACCCCUAUGAAUAUCUUCAACAGGAAUUAUCUCUUUGUUAUAACAUACCGCCUUCCCCUUGAGACAGACUCCUAAAUAAGUCUUCCCACAGGUUUUGUAGGCCUCCAUUCUUCUCUUUGGAUCUUCUUGUUUCACUCUGGUAUUCCCAGAGUUAAACCCUUUUUAUUUCUGUACUUUUCCACUCCCGCUGACUACUUCUAUCUUCACUCCCCCAUCAACUUUUCCCUUAUUCUUUUUGUCCUUGUGGUACUGGCUUAAAGCCUCACUACCACCUUCGGCGAUUAUCGCCUUCUCUAAAAUGGUCCCAAACGACAUACUUUGGAACAAAGAUAUACGGUUAUAGAGCCAGGGUUUCAAGCCCUACUCGAACCGUCGAGCUUUCCUAACCUCGGUGUCCGCUUGAUAUGGAACAAACCUCGCCAGUUCAUUAAACUUAGCAGCGUAUUGGGGAACCGUCAUGUCCCCUUGUUUCAAAUCAAGAAACCGCAUCUCCAUCCUUCCCUGCAUACUCGUGGGAAAGUAGUUCUCGAAGAAUAUCUCCUUGAACCUCAACCACGUUACAUUCUCUAUACCAGCUCUAGCCUGGUUAGACUCCCACCAAAAAUUGGCUUCUUCUUUCAUCAUAUAGGUUGCAAAGGCAACCUUCUGACCCUCAUCGACAUUUGCAAUGACAAAUGCCUUCUCGAUUUCUUUUAUCCACGUUUGGCUACUAUGGGGUCCGUAGUUCCUUUGAACUCCGGCGGACCCAUGUUGGGUAAAAUCUAGUUACACACAACACGCAAGUAUACGUGGUCAACAAGUAAUAAAUUAAAAGUAGAGUAUCGUUCCCACGAGGAAUUAUUUAAUAAAAAUCACCAAGUACUAACCCGUAACCAACUCAAUCUUAUUUAAAUAAAUUAAUUUCAAAUUAUAUAAUUAAACUACUAUUAAAUUCAACUAGUUAAAUUAAGAUUAUGGAGAUUUAAGAUCAUAACUUCACUUAUUGCUUUAUUUAAGUUAACACACUUCUCAUCAAUUAUUCUCUAUUCUGUAUUGUUAAUCAAGAACACUAAAGCAGAUAAAACCACUUCUCGCUGUAUAAUACCCAUACUCACAGAUGAUAGAAUUAAGCAAGGCACCCUCAUUAACUAAUCCACUAUAUCUCUAUGUGAAUUACAAUUAAAAAAGAUUUAAAGCACAAGUUCUCUAUAAGAUUAUAUAUGGCGUAAAGGUAUAUCUCUAUCCUAAACACGAAUCAUGAAUUCCAUCUAUGUAGAAAUCACAAACACAUGCUAUCAUGAUCAGAUCUAAAUCUAAACUUCAUCUCUCGAGUUCAUAUAGAUUAUCACGGUAAUUGAUGGCCAAUCAAUUAAAUAAUUAAGUCCAAAUCACAAUAGACAAUCCUCACAAUAGAACAUAAUAAUUGAUAGUGAAUCAUAUUAAAAUAAACUACAAAAAUAGAUCCAUUGUAAUCUCAAAUAAAGAAUUAGUUCAUUAAAUUAAAACUAAGAAUCCACACUUGAAUACACAUUAAAAGAUAAGAAUAAUAUUAAGGAAAAGAAGUGAAUCUGUUGUCGGCAAAUUCUUCCUCCGUCUCGCUCUUGAUCUGGAUCUCCAAUGGCUUCCAAGUGCUUCAAUCUCCAAAUCUCAUAAAAACUAGUGUUUUCUCAUAUUAUACUCUAAUCUAAUCUAAUGGAAUCCUCUCUCUCUCCCCUAAUCCUUGUGAUUCUCCUCCUUUUAUAUGUCUUUUUAUAUGUCUUUAAGUCCUCUUGGAAGUCCUUGAGUCAAUCGGAUCGAACCAAUCCUCCUCGAACUCAAAUUCAGACAAAAAAUGACUUUUCUACGCGUACCCCCGCCCCAGCGGGGGGUAUAAGGAUUAAAGGACCCACCCCGGCUGGCAUACCCACUGUUUUGUAGCUUUUACCCCUGCCCCGGCGGGGGGUAAUAGGCUUAAAGAUCCCGCACCGGUGGGGGUCCUUCCUAGAAAUUUUUUGCUGCAAUGUCCUCUGGUAAAACGACCAUAACCUUUGAUUCGGAAAGAGUUACGAUGCUCGUCACCUAUCAAAUCGAAGAUAUCAACGAGAUCUACAACUUUCAUUCUUUAAAAAUUGAGAAACAACGGACGGAUGAAGGUCGAAAUUAUGUUGGAAGUGACUGCUAUGCAAAUGGCCACCCAAAACAGUGAAGUUCAACGUCCGUUGGUACAAAGAUCAUAACUCUUGCAUCCGAACUCCGAUUGGAAUGAUUCGAGAUUUUUCGGAAAGCUAAGAAGAAGUUCUACAAUAUAAUCCAAGUUUCAAGCCAAGAACAUGAAAUAAACAUGAAACCCCAAACGAUGUUCGGAUUUCUUUUCCUUGCGAUUUCAUACCAAUUCUUUGCAAUCACAGCUCCCAAGCAUAUAAUCUACAAAACGAACACAAAAUGCAUGAAAAUUAACUAAGAAACAUGAGAUUAAGCAACUAAUUCAAGUAACAGAUACUGGAUAAGUAGGUAUAAAAUCUACUUAUCAAAUACCCCCAAACCUAAACCUUUGCUUGUCCUCAAGCAAAAACACAAAACAACAAUGCUAUGCAAUGCAACUAAUCUACAUGCCACGAACCCAGCAGUAAUGACAGAAACAAGUCUAUUCAACCGACCUUAGAGAAAUCAAGUAAACAUGAUAAUACAUCAUAUCAAAACUCAUCAGUAACUUCCCAAUCAAUCAUCAAAUCUUAAACUGUUAUCACUGAUAUAGUGUGUGUGUGUGCUCCACAACAAUGUUAACUGAUAUAAAAUCAAAUUUAACACAUAACAAGUCUCUUCGAAGGCAUCAUACAGUGUAAACUCAAGAAAUCCAAAAACAAGCUAGAUCCAACUAAAAUCAAAUAAUUACCAAUAUCGAGGGUCAACAUGGGAUACUUAUGCUUUAUUUUUCAUCUACGGGGGCUUUUUGCUCUUAUUUCCAAUUUUAUUAAUUUUUUUGGGUUUAUAUACACAUAGCUAUGCAAUGUCUUAUUCCCUUAGGCUUUUCAAUGCUACCUUAACGAGCUUUCGACCAAUGACUCCCAGACCAUUAAGAUCUUAGGGUGCUAGGUGUAAAGACAAUCCCCUCGGGCUUACUUACUCAAGUAACAAAGGCCACAAAACUAGACAAGCACGCCACGGUGUUUAUUUAUACUUUUUUUUCUUUUUUUUAUAUAGCUUAUAUACCCCAAAUAUUCUCCCAAACUUAGGUUCUUGUCUAACUUUAGCCAUCACUACUUAUUCUUGUCAUUCUUUCAUUCAAACUAGCAUUAUCCUUUAGAGUCCCAUUAUGUAUCAAUUUAAACUCAAUCAAUCAACAAGUUGUUUUUAUUGUGCUAUCCUUAUUAUACAAGUUUCAAACAGAAAAAGACUCAAUUUCUAACAAGAAAUCACAUCAAAGCUCUAAUAGUCAGUACUAUACUUGUCUACCCAAUUCCAAUCUCAUCAUUGGGCAAAACAAACUGUAAAUAUCAAACAGCUGGACUCAUGCAAGAUGUAAUAAAUGUUAUAUAAACAUAGUAAACUAACUACUAUUUUUAAAAAAAUUUAAUUUUUCAAUUUUUAUUUUUAUUUUUUAUUUUAAAAAACUUAAUGCAAAAACUAAAUAUAACUAUACAAACUACAAUAUAAAUAAUUAACUAUAUGCAAUACGACACUAAAAUGCCCCCAAACUUAAACUAGACAUUGUCCUCAAUGGCUGAAAUAGAAAAAAGUAAAGCAGAAGACUUCCCUGAAAAUAUAGCAAUCCUCCUCCUUGUCCGCUAAGUUUGGAGAAUAGAUUAGGCACAUGGAACAAAUUGGGCACCACACUUGAAUUGGACUUGAAUGACCUUUUCAUAAUCUUUUGCCUGUCCAUUGAACCUCCAAUACCUACAAUUAAGAGAGACAACAUGGAUUAGAAUAGUACUUUGGAUUGGUAAGAGAACUUAAUAAGCAAAUUAAUUCCUAUCUACUAAAUAAACUAGUAAAGCAUAUAAAUAUAAAAAUUCCUGGGUUGCCUCCCAGUUAGCGCUUGAAUUACAGUCUUUCAACCUGACUUUGUCUGGUCAACGCUAUCCAAUUCCUCUUCGAUAAUUGAGGAACCCUCCAUCCAUCAAAAAUAAUAUAGCUUUUGGUAGGUUCCCUGGCCAAUGCAUCAAAGUCACCUAGCAUGCUCUGAUUUGGUAUGAUCUCAAUCAAGAACAUCCCACAGCUAGGUGUUUUCUGCAUUGUGUAUGUGAUCACUUUGGGGCAUGGAAGCUUGUCACACACAAUGGGAUCUUCUUCUAUCUUCUUUUUCUCAUCCCACCACGGAUUCAAAAUUGUACUCGCUCUUAUGUCAUUAAGAGCUUCGCCGACGACAUGACUACCAAAUGGGCAUGAUUUUGAAAAUCUGUCUGACUCUUUGAUCUUUGGUGGAGACCCAUUUAGAUCUUCGUCGACCUCUAUUUCAUUAUCCCCAAUUUUCUCCACACUUCCAAUAUCUUGUGGCUCAUCCAGUCGCAGAUUUGGUUCGGGUUCUCCGUCAAUUUCGUCAUCCUUGUCAAAAAGCCAAGUGUUUGGAGGAAGGUUGCUUACGGCUUUGGUCAUUUACUCUAUCUGAUCUGCAAGAUUUUGAAUUGACCUCUCUUGAUUACUCAUCUUCUCCUCAUCUGCUACGAACUUGGACAAUAAUUCCCCCAGCCUUGAAUUUUCUGUUUCAGUCUUAGAAGCCAUGUAUUGAGGACCAUUGGUUGAGGUAGUGACGAGUUGUUCCAUCCGAUUAUUAAAAUUUUUGGUUGACAGCUCUUGGCUAAUCCUCAUAUCCUCUAGGUCUGCUAUGCCCUUCAAUAUUACAUCCAUCGGAUUUGGCUUUCUUCUUGUAGCAAUGGAGGUGGACAUAAAAAUUCCAGUGUGUAUGAUGAAUUUAGAGCGUAAUGUUGGUAAUCAUAAUUGUAGCUUCAUGAAAAAAUCGGGUGAUACCCCCAAUCUUGGUGAUAGUUAGGAUCACCAUAGUUGUUGGUAAUCAUCACUAUAUUGUACCGGUUCAAAACUGACGGUGUAUUGAUGACUUUGGUGGUUGCCAGCACAAUAGUCACACAUAAAUUGCCAUCCUUCGACUCCUUUGGGCUACAAUAACGUCCAACGUCCUCGAAAGUUCUUCAAUCUGUGUUGAUAUUGCGGAAAAUGCAUUAAGUCCAUCAAUCCUUGUUUCCUUUGGUUGAGUCAUGUUUGCCAUCCUUCGACUCCGUUGGGCUGCGAUAACCUCCAACGUCUUUGAAUUUGCCUCAAUUUGUACUGACUCUACAGAAAAUGUAUUAAGUCCAUCAAUCCCUGUUUCCCUUGGUUGAGUCAUGUUCGUGUAUGACCAUUGAUACGCAAAGUCAUCCAUGGUACCUGAAAAGAGAGAAAUAUAUGAAGAAAAUUAAAAAUAAAAAUAAAAAUAUUUAAAUUAAGACUAAUUUGAUUGAAAUUAAUAUUGGUAAAAAAUAUAAAACUAAUUCCCUGGAAACGGCGCCAAAAACUUGUUGGAUAAAAUCUAGUUACGCACAACACGCAAGUAUAUGUGGUAAACAAGUAAUAAAGUGAAAGUAGAGUAUCAUUCCCACGAGGAAUUAUUUAAUAAAAAUCACCAAGUACUAACCCGUAACCAACUCAAUCUUAUUUAAAUAAAUGAAUUUCAAAUUAUAUAAUUAAACUACUAUUAAAUUCAACUAGUUAAAUUAAGAUUAUGGAGAUUUAAGAUCACAACUUCACUUAUUGCUUCAUUUAAGUUAACACACUUCUCGUCAAUUAUUCUCUAUUCUGAAUUGUUAAUCAAGAACACUAAAGCAGAUAAAACCAACUCUCGAUGCAUAAUACCCAUACUCACUUAAAUUCACAGAUGGUAGAAUUAAGCAAGGCACCCUAAUUAACUAAUCCACUAUAUCUCUAUGUGAAUUACAAUUAAAAAGGAUUUAAAGCACAAGUUCUCUAUAAGAUUACAUAUGGCGUAAAGGCAUAUCUCUAUCCUAAACACGAAUCAUGAAUUCCAUCUGUGUAAAAAUCACAAACACAUGCUAUUAUGAUCAGAUCUAAAUCUAAACUUCAUCUCUCGAGUUCAUAUAGAUUAUCACGGUAAUUAAUGGCCAAUCAAUUAAAUAUUUAAGUCCAAAUCACAAUAGACAAUCCUCACACUAGAACAUAAUAAUUGAUAGCGAAUCAUAUUAAAAUAAACUACACAAUAAGAUCCAUUGUAAUCUCAAACAAAGAAUUAGUUCAUUGAAUUAAAACUAAGAAUCCACACUUGAAUACACAUUAAAAGAUAAGAAUAAGAUUAAGGAAAAGAAGUGAAUCUGUUGUCGGCAAAUUCGUCCUCUGUCUCGCUCUUGAUCUGGAUCUCCAAUGGCUUCCAAGUGCUUCAAUCUCCAAAUCUCAUAAAAACUAGUGUUUUCUCCUAUUCUACUCUAAUCUAAUCUAAUGGAAUCCUCUCUCUAUCCCCUAAUCCUUGUGAUUCUCCUCCUUUUAUAUGUCUUUAAGUCCUCUUGGAAGUCCUUGAGUCAAUCGGAUCGAACCAAUCCUUCUCGAACUCAAUUUCGGACAAAAAACUACUUUUCUGCACGUACCCCCGCCCCGACGGGGGGUAUAAGGCUUAAAGGGCCUGCCCCGGCUGGCAUACCCACUGUUUUGCAUCUUUUACCCCCGCCCCGGUGGGGGGUAAUAGGCUUAAAGAUCCGGCCCCGACGGGGGUCCUUCUUGGAAAUUUUCUACUGCAAUGUCCUCUGGUAAAACGGCCAUAACCUUUGAUCCGGGAAGAGUUACGAGGCCUGCCACCUAUCAAAUCGAAGAUAUCGAUAAUAUCUACAACUUUCAUUUUUUAAGAAUUGAGAAAUAACAGACGGAUGAAGGUUGAAAUUGUGAUAGAAGUGACUGUUAUGCAAAUGGCCACCCAAAACAGUGAAGUUCAAUGUCCGAUGGUACAAAGAUCAUAACUCUUGCAUUCGAACUCCGAUUUGAAUGAUUCAAGAUGUUUUGGAAAGCUAAGAAGAAGCUCUAAAAUAUAAUCCAAGUUUCAAGCCAUGAACUUGAAAAUAAACAUGAAAGCCCAAACGAUGUCCGGAUUGUUUUUCCUUACGAUUUCAUACCAAUUCUUUGCAAUCACAGCUCCCAAGCAUAUAAUCUACAAAACGAACACAAAAUGCAUGAAAAUUAACUAAGAAACAUGAGAUUAAGCAACUAAUUCAAGUAAAAGAUACCUGAUAAGUAUGUAUAAAAUCUACUUGUCAACCCACACUUUUAAAAUCCUUGAAAGUAGUAGCUCGUACUACUCCCGAAUUUACGGGGAUAUUAGCCCAAUUUCUAUUAAACGUGGUUGUUAAUAAGUUAACAAAUUCCUGCAUCGGGUUAACCGGACCUCCUUCCGGUUGAUUUACAUUAACGUCUUGGUUUCGUUGUCUCCUUCUUGGUGGUAUUUUGCUGUUACAAUAAACAACACAUUUUGUUAUUAUUCCCUUCUUGUUAGUUAGUUAUUAUUAAAUAUUAAACAAUAACUUCAACAUUCAUUACUCCAUAUGUUCCGUAAAAAGGCUUAUAUUGAUUCAUUCAUUGUAGUAUAAUACUACAUCGUUCCAUUACACAACCUAAGCUGAUUACAUUACCAUCCCGCAAUUACUUUCCAAAAAUUGGGAUUUACAAAAGACUACCCUUUGAUAUAUAAAAGAGGGUUUUACGUCAAUACUAGAUACACAAUAUUUAAAUAUCUAAUUAUACUCUAGCUACUACUAGAUUACAUCUGCCUUAAGGCAUUAUCAAUAUCUGUUGUGGCCAGACUAGCGAUAACAUCAUGGCUGAUAGCAUGCCGAGUCUGCCCUGCCUCUAUUGGAUAUCCAGCCACCUGCUGCUGGAAAUCCUUAUGAGAACUCUUAUGGAUAUAGGACAUUCUCCCUAUCUUUUGCUUCUUGGUCUUUAGCUCCCCCCUAAGCUCAAAGACCUCCUGUUUUAGCUCAUGGACCUUGUCCUUGGCUAAAAAUCAUUCGUCAUGUUCCCGUUCCCACAUUGACUCCACAUCUGUCUUAUCCUGUAAGACAACCUGGAGCUCUGUUUUUUACUCCUUCACCUCCUGAUAGUAGUGGAGGUUUCUGUCUAGCACUGUCAUAAAUAGUGACAUCAUAGACUCCCCCAGGGGUGUCUCCUAUGCAAGUUUUAUAGGGUUGAAGGACGCCACCUCUACCUGUUCUUCUGACAUGCCAUCGAACUGACAUGAGAUCAUGGUUCUUUGAGUCUCCAGACUCAAUCACUACUACUUCUGGCUCUUCGGCUAUUGGGUUUGGUAUAACCUCUAUCUGGCUAACCGAUUCUUCACUGUCUACCUGUAUAUCUCUAUACAUUCCAUUUUCGCCUGACAUCUACAACAAAACAAUUAAGUUUGAUUAGUACACGUUGGUAGAUUAAUAAAAACACAUAUCAUAUAUAUAAUGCAUUUUUAAGGUUACUUUCAUCGUUUACUUCUUUGACUCCUCUUAAGGUUAUGACUUAAGGUUUUAUUCCCCCCCCCCCCCUUAAGUUUUAUAACCUAAUGCUUUGAUACCAACCUGUGACGCCCCCAAAUUUAGGUAUCUUCCAACCCGACAUUUGGUGCUCCACGGUGCUACAAUUCACACAAACAUUCAAUUGAAAUUCCUCAAAAGAACGAAUAUGUCUUAUAUAUAUAUUCCAAAAUAAUAUUACCAUUCCCCAGAUUCUUUAUAACCAUUACAUUUGUUCUUGUCAUAAUAUCAAAUAUUAUCACUACAAACCUAUACUAUUACAUAGGUAAGCUACAGGUUCGCCUUCGCCUUUCCUUUAUCCUUUCCGAAUCCUUCGAUCCAUUUUGUCUUAGCUGCAUUCAUAUGGUUCAAGGAACAGUGAGCAUAACUAGCUCAGCAAGUAUAACAAUUCCAUUCAAAUGACAUGCUUGAAUCAUACAAAUCAUAUAUCUUUAAUAACUGAACAAUAGUUAUGAAGUACUAUCGAUAAUUUAAAAUAGCACUUCUCUUUUCUUUAAAACAUUUUACAAUGACAACAUUCAGUAAAACAUCAAUUUUGGUCCAAGACCUUGAGCAUUUCAUACUUUCUUUGAAAAGGACAUCCCGGCACUAAGUCUGUAAGUCCGAUAUUUUUUACGAGCACGUCUAGGUGAUCAGCCUAUAGUACUCUAUGUUGAUCAACACUACACUCUUUAUACGUAUGUACGUUUAAGUUGUGGCAACCUCACGUGCCUGUCGUUUGACGACAAAACAUUUUAGCAUACUCAGUCUUCAUUUGAAAACCAUACCAACAUAGUUUGGUAAAGCAUUGACAAUACUUCGAUAGAUUAUAAGAAAUCCAACACAUCAUAAGUCUAGCCGAAAGAAUUGGCUUUGACUUAGUCAUACAUCAAUUCAUGCGUGAGAAUACAUGAAUCACAAAACCUAUCUAGACUGAACAUAGACAAGGGUUAGAAUACUUGCAUUUAGUGUCUGCUACUAUUAUUACACGUUCACUUUAAGUCUUUAAGGUCUCUACAAUAGAUGAUCACAUAACAUAACACAUUAGGUCAUGAUUAAACAUACAUGGUUCCUAAUGAAUCUUACCCUUCUUUUCAAUCUAAUCAUGUAUUAGAUUUGUUGCUAUUGGUUCCGGCUUUCUGUUAUAGUUUACAUUGUCAUCACGUUCAUGUUUGAUUGAUUACCUUCAACCUUUAGUCAUCAUAUUUAAAGUUUAAUAAUGCCUUAACAAUGUCAUAAUUAAGCUUUACUUCAUUGUUAAACAACUACAAUUCUUGCUCUACUUACAAACAUUCUUUACUGUUAAAACCCUAAGGCUAUCGUUGUGGCACCAGCUUUCCUUCAUUGUGCCGCGCUACGGCGCGAGUUAAUAGUGUGUAUGACCCGGACUCGGCGCUACGGCGCGAGUCCCAGUUCUAAUUGCCGCGCUGCGACAUGAAAGUUCAGUAGGUACUGGAACUGCACAUGGCGCUGCAGCGCCACCAUUAUGCCAUGGGCUGGCGUCGCGACGCCAGCUCUGUGCACCAGACAAUGAAAUUUUUUUGUUUUGCAUAACGAACUUCCCGGACUCCAAAUUUGAUCAUUUUAAGUCCGAAUUGGCUCAUUCAAAAGCCAUUAGCUCACAAAUCAGAUACUCUAUGUGUUCAUGCAAGAAUUUUAUAUUUUUGACUUCGCUAGCUUAAAAUUCACCUAUUGGUUCAUUUUUAAUGAAAACGAUAAACGUUCGUGAACGUUCAAUGCUUGUUUCUCCGUUCUAAGUCAGAAUUCGGCCAUUUUUGAGUCCGCAACUUUAUAAUGCCAAAUAAGACUUGUUCCCAUUGGAAACCAAUGUUUCCGAGCUUAAUAACAAAAUUUGACUUCUAAUCCGAGAAUUUCACGAAUUCGGUGAUUAUCGUUCAAUCGUGAGAAUUCCGGCAUAACUUCGUUACUUAUGAUUUGUUCAUUGUUUCAAAUGGAUUCUAUCCAUCAUAUUGACAUCUUAACAUACAUAUGACAUCAACUUAUUUUCAUGAUAAGUUAUUACUUAUACCUUAUGAGUUUAUAACUUAUCAAAGUAUAAACUAUAUAUACUUUCAUUUCUCAUGACUUAUGAUAGUUUAAGUCUUCUAACCAACAUCCUUACAUCCUUUUAACAUAUAAACUUCACUCAUCUAAACAUGCUACAAGUCUUACAAUUUCUUACUUAAUUCAUAGCUAGCUUAUCUAUGAACAAUGUGCUUAUUCACUGCUUAUUAAGACUUAAGUCCUUAGAUUCUUUAUUAUUAACAUUUCUUAGCAUAUAUGUCCAUUAAUCCACACUUCUCUUAUCAACCUACAAUGGUAGAGAUGGAAGACUUAAUGACAUAGGAGGCUUACCCUUGAUGAACAAGCUUUCUUCUUCUUUUCUAACAAAUAAUACUCUAACUUAUUCUUGCUUAUUCUCUCUAAUAAUUAAGUUGAAAGUAUUGGAUGAAAAUAACAACCAACAAAUGAAAACCAAGCUUGCUAUUUAUAGGAUUUCCUAAGUUAGGGCAUAAUGGACAAGAGCCAAUCCCACCUCCUUAUUACACCUCCACACUAUUCAUUACCUAGCUAUUAAGUAAACUUGCUCCCUACUUCUUUUACUUGGUCAUUACAUAAUUUACUUGGUCACCACAUUAUUCUCUUGGUCACCAAGAUUACCAUAUGAUCAUGGGUUUCCCCAUGGGUCACCCUAACCCAUUGGAUCAAUAGCUUGGGCUUUGGUUUAAUUAUCUUAACUUAAGCUUUUGGGCUUACAUUAAUUCCAUUUGGACUUUACUUUAAUCACCACUUGGCUUUAACAUUACUCACACAUGGGCUUGCACCUUAACUUCUAUUAGACUUUACAAAUUGUUACACAAUCCCACAAGUCCAUUUCAUUUGGCUAAAAGCCUUAUAACGUAUUGUUUAUGUAUUAUUCUCGUAUUCUAACUCGUAUAAUAAUUCACAAUAUAUGAUAUACCAUCAUUCAUACAUACUCGUAUAAUACUUCAUAUCAUACUCGUAUUCGUUACCUCGUACAAUACAUACUUAUCAUACGAUCAUUACAUUAACUUCUUAACGCUUUAGUUUCCCCAACGUUCUCAAAUUAAGUCCGCAAGCAAAAAAUUAUGUUUUCCAUGCUUGAAUUAUUAUUACAUAAUUCAGCUCACUUCGAUAUUCUAUCGUUACUUAUUUCUCGGAAGUUCAAAAAUAAUUCCUGAGCAGAAAUCAAUGAAUAGUGUUUUUCAAAAAAUUUCUCGAAAAACUUUUAUUUUCGUCUUGGAAAUUCAUACACUUUUAUUCCUUCACGUAGUCAAAAUACUACGAUGUUCUAACGUUUCUAGGUUAUAGAACGACAUUCAUCUUACUAACACAUAAUAAUAACAAAUACUAUAAUUUUAUUCAUUAUUUAAUUAAAUAAAAUUAUUUUACAAUGAAUUCAAAUUUCUCGGUUGUUACAUGGACCAUAUUGGAGAGUAUGAUUGGGGUUCCUAAACCUUCGUAUAUUUCCUCAGGGGUAUGCGAAUGCGUUCGCAGGGCUUGACGGAGGCUUGGCUAGGAUUCUACUCAUUUCUGUUGGUGAGUAUUUCUCUUGUGAUUUCCCAUGUACAGGUUGAGAGUAUUGACUAACAGCAUAUGUUUGCCUUUGUGUUAGUUGUUUUGGGCCUAUGAGAGGCUCUCAUGUUUGCGUCCUGUGAGUGUGUUAGGUUUAGAUAGCUAUCCACAAAGACGGCGAUGGCAUCACUCCAUAUUGGCGGAGGUUCCUGUAGCUGAGGGUUUCACCCAUUGUCAUUUACAAUUGAAGUUGUUGGCAGUUGAUGCUAUCACUUGGAUUCCCUAUUCUGGGGAACAUUUGACCAUUGGUUUUUAAGAUGGGUACCCGACUGGUGUCGAGUACGUGAUAUCCACCCCUAGGAUUCCUCUCUUCACAGAUGGAGGAUGAGAGCUCUAUUUAGGAGAGCGUGCUAUUAGGACCGCCACAGGGGAGAUUCGUGUACCGAUUUUUCCUCCUAGGCGUUAUUGGCCUGUGUCGUAGUCACCCAUCAGUGAUAUCCCAUUGAUGGGCGUUGACGACUUUUCAUUAUCAGAGGGUCCAUAUACCCAGGAUAUGUUCCAUCGCUGGUGGUCCCCUCGUACCAUCGGAGCCCAGACGCACACCACUCAGUUCAUGGGGGAUAUGGUUCUUGGAUCUGUGAUGAUGACAAAUUGGAUGGCCUGUGUUCGAGAUCCGACUCAUUUGGCACAGAUUGAUGGUUUGACCCGGCAAUUGGACCGGGCAUAUUUCUUUAUCUGGCACUUGGGUAGAGAUCCUUCAGAGGCAAAUACUUUUGAUCCUUCUAGAUCUGGGGCUGGCCCUUCAGGUGACCCAUAUGGCUUUCCCGGUGCAAAUCCUCCAUUGUAUAGGCCUGACAUCCCACUUGGCGGAGAUCCAGUGACUCAGGAGGAGUUACAUCAGGUGGACAGGAUUGAUGAUGUAGAUAUUGACACCAUUGUCUUCUUCUGAUGUGUAUUCUCGCUAUAUCUUUUGAUAGGCCUCUAUUAGAUACUGGGUGACUGUGCUCCAUUCUCGUUAUAUCUUUUGAUAGGCCUUUGUUAGUUGUUAGGCAUUUGUGCCCCAUUUCCCUGUAUUUUUAGCUGUACAAAGAUGAUGUAUUAGAUGAUGAUGUAUUUAGGAAUGUAUGUACUAUUAUUCCCUGCAUCAUAUUGCCAUCUAUUAUUUAUCAUGCAUGUAUCAUGUUAUGCAUAUGUAUGUAUGUCCAAAGAUAUUCAGCAUUGACCCCUGGAUAGUCUUAUGAUACAGUCCACACAGAUGUCUUCAUCGACAAUCAGCCGCAUUAAUCACACCUCACCAGUAUUGGUAGCAUCUUGUCUGAUGUCAUGGUAUGAUAGCUUUUCACCUCCAGACCGGGUGACCGUAGAUCAGUUAUUACAGCAUUCUAUGACCCUCCUGAUGUUCUUGGUUCCUGUGGGCUUUGUAGAUUGUAUGCUAGAGCAUUGGGUACUGGAGAGGCAGUUAUUCUGGUUUGGGACCCAGGAGUUGACUCCCACCUUAGAGGAGUAUGCACGGUUGACGGCACUGUCACUGGACAGACCUUGCGCGCUGAUGGAUAUUGGUGAUAUGAGCCGACAGUUUAUGACCCUCACUGGGCUGAGGCGUAGAGUAGUACAUGAUGAGAUUACAUUUGGCCAUGUGGUGUCCCAACGUUUUAUGAUAGAUAGAUUUGGCUCAGUGGACAGUUAUGCUUGACACUCCGGUGAUUUCACCGCAUCAGAGGAUCAGUGGCGUACGGCCAGGGUAGACGUACUUAUGAUGUACAUAGUAGCUUAUGUGUACAUGCCACUGUAUAUGGAUGAGCUGGACAUCAGUGUUUUCAUAGCAGUGAGAGCUCUUAGGGAGGGUCAUACCAUUGUGUCGAUGAUUGUGAUAGAGACGUUGAGAUCCGCCACGUAUUGUUAUACCUAUCCUGCAGGGGUAUUCAUAGGCAGUUUGGUCAUAUUGUAUGUGUGGUUCAUAUCAUAUUUGAGACCGAUUGGCACCUUCCGAUGACAUGGGUACUGCUUUUCCCAUGAGAUAGCCAUGUCUUACUCUUUUUAGCCAACGGAGUGUACAGACGUUGUAUCUUGGUCAGUGUUUUUGGCAGGGAUCGGAGAUUCGUUUGACUUUUUGCAGUGUACAAGGCUUAGUUCACCCUACAGCUUCAUUACUCAUGCACCUGGCAUGGAUUAUCUUCCUCUAGCUGGUUUAAGGGGUAUGACCACUUACCACCCACUGGUUGUGAUGUCACAGUUCGACCAGUUUUAGGACGUCCAUCCUUUUGAGGGGGCAUUGGGUCAGCGUUUCGCUUCUCGCUAUUUGUCAGCAGAGGAUAUAUCUAGGGUGUAUGCUUGUUGGGAUCAGCGUGAGCUAGCUGAGUUUUCCAUUAGCUAUUCGGCAUGUUCGACAGAGUAUUCUACAUGGAUGGAGACAAUGACUGCAUCGGUUGCGGUUGUAUCCACAGUGCCGGGGAUUGAUUCUGAUGGUGGAGAGCCCAUAGAGGAUGUUGAUUCUCCUGUCGAGGAGGAGCUAUUUGCUGAGUUGCCAGCAGCUGUGAUGGAUUCUCCUUGUAUGACUGCUACUGUGACCCCGUAUUCAGUAGAGUAUUUAGAGCAGAGCCUGCAUCUGAUGACAUUUAAGAGAGAUCAGGCUAGGGCCUUGAUGUUGACAGCUCUUGUUGGGAGAGAUGUCGCUCUAUUAGAGAGAGAGGAUGCCUUAGCUCAUAGAGACACCACUAUUGCUGAUAGGGAUGAGACUAGAUCAUCUAGAGAUGCAUUGAUUGUUGAGCGGGAUGGCGCUAUAUUUACUCGGGACGUAGCCGUUACAGAUAGUACUACAGUGAAAUCCUUUACCAUUGGCAUUAUUGUCGAGAUGAGCGUAUAUAUUGAUGAGCACCAUGUCACCAUGCAGUUGGUUGUGGAUCUGUUGGCUAGUGUAGAUACCCUUGGGCAGGAGCUCACAGCGUUACCUCCUUCUUUGGAGAGAGAUGCCAUGUUGGACUUGAUAGCUCGUAUAUCCACUGAUUUGUAGAUGGGCUUGUAUUUUCCUGCACAGACUAGCUUAGCCAUUUUGUCAUGUACAAUACAUAUUGUAUAUAUCAAACAAUAUUAUAUAUGGCAGGGAAAUAUAUUUUGAUUCACUUCCCUUUUAGUUGUGCCUUGUUACUUUCUUGAUAUUUGCCUGUUUCUUCAGGACUUGUCAUCUUGAUGUAUUCUGAACUCAUCCUUGAUGGGUGGACAUUGAGAUGUCUCAGGAUCUUUUAGAAUGGAUCGUUGAUCUGUGUGUAUCCCUACCCUCUGGGGUCUUGGGACUAGUUUCUGUAUGUAGUAAUGGAGAGGAUUGUGGCUUUCCUCUCUGAGGUUGACCGCACCACAAAUGGUCGUUAGUACUCCUUUGUAUGGGGGAGCCCAGGUAGUUUCAUCUCUUUUGGAUUGGUGUUUCUCUUUGAGGAUUCAACCGCAGCUUAGAUGGUCGCCAAUUCUCCCAUUUGUGUGGGGAGAUCAGAUAGUUUCAUCCCUUUGGUCUGAAGCCGAUGAAAUGUGGUGGAUUGAAGUUUGAUCCCAGUACCAUGUGAUAAGUUUUUGUGUUUUGGUAGGGGGUAAGACUGAACCAUAAAUGGCUGCCUACGUACUCCUAUUGAAGAGGAGAUCAGGUCUGCGUAGUUCGAACCUAUUGUAAUAGGUUCAACGAUGUAUGUGAAAGGGUGUAGAAGGAUGUAGAAGUGUGUUUUUGUUUUUGUUUUUUUUAUUGCGACCGGGCCAUUAAAAAAUGGUUUCCUACGUACUCCCGUAUAUUGGGGAGAUCAGGUCGACGUAGUUCGCCCCAUGUGCAGGACGGAUUGCAACCAAAAAGCUUGAUCCCAUGUUCAGGACAAACUGCAGAUGAAAAGUUUGAUCCCAUGUACAGGACAAAAUGCAGGUGUGAAAUGUUCUAUCCCUGGUGGGACAAAACUGCAGGUGUGAAAGGUUUUAUCCCUGGUGGGACAAAACUGCGGGUGUGAAAGGUUUAAUCCCUGGUGGGAUAACCUGAAAGGUUUGAAAAGAAGUGGAGUGAAAGAUCUAAUGAUCUGAAAACUAGGCUACUGGUUUAAAGAGUGUGUUUGUCUCUGAUGGGGCAGAUGGGUAGGAAGAAAGGAUGUAUGUAGUGAAGAGUUAGAAAACCUGAAGUGAUUGGGGAUCUGGUGAUCCAAAACUAGGAUGUUUGUUUGCUGGUAACCUCAGACAUAGUGCCAUUUCACGGUGUCCGAGUUGAUGAAUUAUGGAAAUUCAUUGCCGUCCAUUUCCUGUAAUCUGAGAGCACCUCUUGUCAAUACCUCCUUGACAAUAAACGGGUCUUCCCAGUUCGGGGCGAAUUUUCGAUCUUGGUUAUUAAUGAUCUUCUUCAAAAACUGUCGUAGCCGGACUUUUCUAUUGUAGGAUCUGGCGAUCCUUUGUUGGUAUAACUGACCAUGGAAGAUAGCACUGACUCGCCUUUCAUCUAUUAGAGACAAUUGGUGAUACCUAUCUUGUAACCAUUGGUCUUCAUCCAGCUGAGCGUCUAUCAGCACUCUAAGGGAUUCCAUUUCCACCUCUAUGGGGAGCACUGCUUCCAUCCCAUAGGUUAAUGAGUAGGGGGUUGCCCACAUCAAUGGCAAGGAGGUAUUAGAGAAAGAGGAUGUCGGAAUAGAGAAGAUUAUAACGUGAGUAGCAUUUAAAAGAAAAUCACAGCUUUCCAAGUGAGGAGCGAUCCAGAGGUGUACCUAGAAUGAAAAAAAGAAGAUAGAAUGGGUAUUUGAUUGUCAUAAAUACUCAAAUCUAAAGAAAGUCAACUUAGUUGUUACUAAAUUUUUAUAUUAUGCAGUUACUUGGUGGGAUCAGUUAACUACUAGUAGAAGGCGAUGUGGUGAACGUCCAAUUGAGACAUGGACAGAGAUGAAGAUAGUUCUGAAAAAGAGAUUUGUACUGAGCCACUACCACUGUGACUUGUUUAGAAGUUUAUAGAAUUUGAAACAAGGAAGCAGGAUUGCUGAGGAUUACUUCAAGAAGAUGGAGAUGUUAAUGGCUAAAGUUAAUAUGGAUGAGGAUAGUGAGGCAACAAUGACUCGAUUUUCAGAAGGGCUAAAUUGGGAUAUAGCUGAUUUAGUGGAAUGAAAACAUUAUGUGGACUUGGGGGAUAUGGUACACAUGGCAAUCAAGAUUAAGAAGCAGCUUAAGAGGAGAGGUGGCUAAAUUUCAAAUCCUACCAAAGGCUCAUUAUGGAAAUCUAAUGCGGUAAAAUGAAAGGAGAAGCCAGCUAUGAAUAAGUCGAAAGUGGAGUUUAAACCAUUUGUGACUAAUCGUAGAAAACAAGGUAAAACAGAACCUUCUUAUUUUAACCGCAAUCGAGAUAUUGUAUACUUUAAAUGUCAAGGAAUGGGGAAUAUUUCUAGUCAAUGUCCAAAUCAGUGAACUAUGUUGUUGCUUGACAAUAGAGAGGUAAAAACCGAGGGGAGGUUGAUGAUAGGGAGAUUGUUAUGCAUGGAAAGGUGUUGGUUACGAGAAGAGUGCUUAGUGCGCAUGUAAUAGAGGAAAGUUUGGAGUAAUGGGAGAAUUUGUUCCACACUAGAUGUCUUGUGCAAGGAAAAAUUUGUUGCGUGGUAAUUGACGGUGGGAGUUGCACUAAUGUAGCAAGUACAACCAUGGUGGAGAAAUUAGGAUUGUCGACAACCAAACAUCCUCAACCGUAUAGAUUGCUAUGACUUAAUGAUAGUGUCGUUUACCAUUGGGAAAUAUGUGGAUAAGGUCUUGUGUGAUGUGUUUUUAAUUCAAACAGGUCAUUUACUACUUGGGAGGUCGUGGCAAUUUGAUAGGCGUGUGAAGCACAAUAGGUUUAUUAAUGAAUACUCUUGUUUUAUUAUUAUUUUACGUGUUGUUAUGUGUACGUAUUACAGGAGUGGAAGUGGGUGGAAAGCAAGAGAAACAGGGCAAAAGCGUCAAAAUGCAGCUAGCACACCCGCUGAGGCGGCAAUCACUAAGCCAAAUUACUCACCGGGGUGGGGGUCUCAAGUGUCCUGGUUUGGUUCUGACUCUAGAGAUCUUUCGCUGGUGGAUUCAGGACACGGUUAGGAGAGUAUUAAAUGAGGAUGAAGGGGCAGAGAGGACAGAGAUAAUCAUCAUUAAUAGAACCCUAACUCUUAGAUCACGAUUUGGAGGAUUGAAGCAACGAUUUGGAACACGAAGAAUACGAAGGGGAUUGGAGAAGAGCAGCGGGUUUAUUUACAGUUUAAAUUCUUUAUAUUCAUCUUUGUAUUCAUAAUGCUAGUAUAUUUGUGGAUUUCAGUUUCUUAUUCCUUCAUCAUGAACUAACUUACUAUUUAAGUAUACAAUGGAUCUUUUUGUGUAACGAAGGUUGACAUGCUUUUAUUUUAAUUUAUUGAGACUAUUUCAAGAUUUGUCUAUUAUGGUUUAUGCUUAAUUAAUGAAUUACUUGAUCACCAAUUCCUUAUGAACCCAUAUGAACUCGAGAGAUGGAAUAUGAGUUUAGACUUAAUCAUAGUGGCGUGUGAUUAUGAUUUCUGCAUAUUGUUGGGAUUUAUAAUUUAUGUCUAGGAUAGAGAUAUACCUAUACAUCACAUGUAAUCUCAUAAGAACUUGUGAUUAAACCUUCUUUAAUUAUAAUUCACAUAGAGAUAUAAUGGAUUAGUUAAUUAGGGUGUUCUACUUAAUUCUAUCAAUUGUGGAUUUAAGUUGAUAUGGGUAUAAUGCAUCGAGAGAUGGUUAUAUCUACUGUUGUGUUCUUGAUUAACGAACUGGAAUAGUUAAUGUGAAUUAAAAGGAAGUGUGUCAGUCUAAGUGAAGUAUCAAGUGAAAUUGUAGGCUUAAUUCUCCAAUAUCUUAUUAAAGCUUGUGGUAGUUAGUUAAUUUUUCCUUAAUUAGUAGUUUUUGUAAAUUCACAUACUUAAUCAUUAGUUUAAUAAAAUUGAGAUAAUAUAAAAUUGGUAAUUGUUAGGAUAAAAUUAAGUUAUUUCUCUAUGGGAACGUUACUCAACUCAUCACUUUAUUAGUUGUUGACCACGUAUACUUGUGUGUUGUGCGUAAUUAGAUUUUACACCAUCAUCCACUGUCGGGCGUCUUUCCUCAAAUUAGUCAUGAACAUCUGACAUUUAGUCGCAUCCAAGUAGCCGUAGUAGUCCAUCAGCCGAUCAUAAGUCUGGUUGUGCUCAUAAGGGUCCCUCAAACCGUCAUAACUCUCCAUGUGAGGGGGCUUCUUACUCGAAUUGGCCUUCUCUUGAACAAUUUUUGGGGAGAACGGUGAUGAAGAAUUAACCGGGGUUGCAACAUUUUGAUUCCCCUCGGUUAACUGUUUCUCUUAUCUAAUUCAGUCACCUUCCCUGGUAGCUCUUCGGUCUCACUUCUUUGGGGGGAAGGAUCUCUUUUACCCCGUAUUCUUCUAUCGGGAAAUAGAUCCAGUCUCCUGUAAUUUGACCGACCUCUACUUUCAGAACUUGCUGCCCUAGAGUGGCUUCGAUGCCUACUCCUAAUGUGUCGAGAGCCGUCCGAACGAUGUGUCUUGGACUAGUUCCUGGAUGACUGUUCUCCUGAUCUGCUCCUGCGCCUGCUCUUGUCCCAAGAACAACUCUAAAGCCUGCUAUCAGUUCGCCUAGAAUCGUCUGUUUGAUGUGUUAUGCACUAAACUUCUAGCGACCGCCCCCGCCUUCAGCUAUGGCUAGAGGCACCUUCCUCGUUUCCCACUAUCAAUAACACCAUUUAUUGGUCAAUCUUCUUUCGUUGCAAGAGCAAGGCUUUCAAGGCAUCAUCCGUCUCUUGGGCCUUUUUAGAUAAGAUCAGCCUCCUUUCGUCAUGGCCGUCGUCAUGGGGACGUGUUCAGGAUGGUACAUACUCGAUACGACCCCCAUGACCAUCAUUCCUGCUGGCAGUUGAGAACAAUCUCCGCCGAGCGUAUCUUCCAUGUCCCUUGAUGAGGCCAAUGAGUUACUUUGAGGCCCGAGUCUGUCCUGGAUGCUUCUGGAGGGACCCAACAUAUCCAUAAUUGAUCCUCUUGGCUGAGCAAACUCGUCCGCCGUUGACUUCCCAACUCCAGAAAUUGUCUUACUAUUCACUAUGAUUCCCGUCGGAUAACUCCUAUUGUGAUUGAAAAAUAACAACACUAGAAAGCCCUCUUUCUAGCCCCAGUGUUAACGCCAAAAUCCGUCCACGCGUUCCAAUCACCAAAGUGCGUUAAAUCUUGCACAGAAACGGGUAAACACCAAAAACUUGACGACUUGGGCCGCCGGGGGAUAGCUCCGGUGUGAGAAUAAGUACCGCUUGAAUAAAGUUAACAAUGGAGGCUUAAAACUCUAGUGCUAUAAAUAAUAAUUAUGUGUGUACUUUAAAAUCAGGAUGUAGCCUUGUAUUUAUGUUGAUCACACCAUCUCUGCAAAAUCCUUCCUCGUAUAGAAUUGAAAUUCCUAAUUAUGUAAGAUACAUUAAUAGAAACAAAAAAAUCUCCGUAAAGAAAGAAAGUCGAAUCAUAUCCUAACACUUUCAUCAAGAGUUAUAAAUUAAAUGUGAUAAAGAAUAUUUGAUUCUUUAAAAUACUCAACUACCAAAAAGGCUUCUACGUAGGUUAAAAUAACCCCACGUGGAAUUUGGCCCACCAUAUAAUUUGAGCCCAAAUAAUCAUGUCUUAACAAUUCCAAUAAGAUUAGUAUUAGCAAUGAUAUACAUUAUUGCAUGACCCCUCUCUAGCAGUUUAAACUUUUAAAUGAGUUAAUUACUUAACAUGGUAUAAAAGUUUUAGGUGUGUAGGGUUCAAUUUUUUAUGACCACGCAAUUAUUUUUAUAUUAAUUUAAUAGUACAAAUAUACUUUGUGAUAGUAGCAUUAUUUCUCUAUAACAAUACUACUAUCACAAAAAAAAUACUCAUAUAAUGUUCAUAUAUAUAUAUAUAUAUAUAUAUUGUGAAUCCUGCCUGAUAUGUGGAAUUCAAAAUAUGUAUGUGUAUGUGAACAUUAAGGAAUAUACAUUGGCCCUCUCUUUAAUAUUACCAAUCGGGAAGAAAUUAAAUACGUGUUCCGAAGUCCUAUUUUCCUUUUUUUAUAUUAUUUUUUUUAUCAACAAGUUCUUGUUGAUUCUCAUAAUUCAAAAGAGACCCAAUUAAUGUUAUUAUUUCCUGUGGUUAGUUUCUAUAUUCACAUAUCAAAUCAUAACAAAGUCAAAUCAUCUUCUCAAAGAAUCUAAAAAGUACUGAUGUGCACUAUUACUAAGUUUAUUUCAUAAUAUAUAUACUAGGUUUCUUUUAUCUUUUUCAUUUUGUCAUCUCAUCAUUUGUAAAAAUACAAAUAUAUUUUCCCCUGGACCGAAUCCUGAUGCCAAGUAACAAACAAUAGUUUAUAUAAAUGAGUUGCAUUUGUUUAAUCAGCGAACAGUUGUAUUUUAGAUGAACUUUGUAAUAUAAGUAUUUUCUUUAUUUAAAAUUAUAAAAUCAAUAUAAAUUUUUAAAAAUAAAUUUUAAAUAUUUUUAAACUCAAAAUUAACAUAAAUUUAUUUAGUUUUUGUCAAUAUAAUUAUGAAUAUUAUAAAGAGUCAUGCUAUGUAUUGUAAAAUAAUUCAGUCAAAUUAUAAUUGCAAUAAAUAUACAUUUAUUAGAUAGACAAUAAUUACGAAUAGUCACUCUAAUUUAUUCUAUCUUAUCGUAUAAAUUUUCAUGAUGAUGGCAAUUCAACUUCGUUACAUAUUUGUCGACAUAUAUAUUAUUUCUCUAUCAUAUAGUACCUAAAAAGUACUAGUAAUAAAAUUUUUUAUUUUAAUAUUUAAAUAUAUUAUGUCAAUUUUAAAUUUAAAAAUAUUUUAAAUUAAUUUUUAAAGAGUCAAUAGUGAUAUUAUAUUUGGUAACCGUAUGUAUUAUAUAAAUCCAACUCUAUGCUACACAUGAUAUGCACCUCAUUCUAUAGGAAUUAUCAAUCCAACCGACUGGAAUCCAAAUCACCCUGGACCAAUUUAUUGCCUUUCUAGCUAGCUAGUUCUUCAAUGAGAAUAAAACUUAAGGUGGAAAAACAAACUCUCAAAACAUAUUUCAAAGAGUAGUUCUACACGGACCGGAUAUUUAGACAGGAAAAUUGGAUAUUUUUCAUUUUUUUUUAUUUGUGAUUCUCAAAAAAUGUAUAGUAUUUAUUUUAAUACAAAUUUUUUCAAAAUAUAGUGUUUAGGUGUUUUAGUCUGUACAACCAUGUUCUUAUAUAUGUAUCUAAAUUACACCUAAAACACUAUAUUUUAUAAAAAUUCAUGUUAGAAUAAAUACUAUACAUUUUUUGAGAGUCACAAAUAAAAAAAAAUAAAAAAUAUCCAAUUUUCCUGUCUAAAUAUCCGAUUUUCUAUUUCAAAUCCAGUGCUGCUAGAAAAUUUGUACAAUUUUAUUGAAAAGAAGAACAUAAGGACGGGGAAAAAGGUAGAUUCCACUGAUAAUGCAAGAGAAAAAGUGUACAUUUAUUGUAGUAUAUAAGUAGGCACGGUGUAUAUUAAAAAUAUCAAGCAUAGAUAGAUAGACAGGCUAACUAGCUAGUUGUUACUAGUUCGUUCAUAUAUACAUCUAGUAGUACUAAUAAUUACUACUGCUAAUAAAAAAAAGAUUAUUAACAUAUAUAUAUAUAUAUAUAUAUAUAUAUAUAUAUAUAUAUAUAUAUAUAUAUGUGAGUUGGUUCAUUUAAUUAUUGUGAGUCCCAUAUAGUUAUAUUAAUUAUGCCUAGAGAUCCACUUGUUGUUGGGCGAGUGAUUGGGGAUAUUUUGGAUCCAUUUACAAGGUCGAUUUCCCUGCGGGUGACAUUCAACAACAGGGAAGUGAAUAAUGGAUGUGAGUUCAAGCCUUCUCAAAUUGCUAACCAACCAAGGGUUGAUAUUGGAGGAGAUGACCUCAGGACUUUCUACACUCUUGUAAGCCUCUACGUACUUAUAUUAAUACUUUAUAUAUAUAUAUAUAUAUAUAUAUAUAUUCUUCUUCAUAUUCGUUCAUUAUUUAUCUCCCUUUUCAUUCAUUAUUUAUAUCUCCCAUUUUGAUCUUCUUUCUUUCUUUCUUCGCCUACAAGAAAAAUAUUAAGUACAAGAUUUUGAUCCAGUGAAAUUGUUCUCUAACUUACUAUCGGUCAAUAUUAUAUAAAAUGAGUUGUAUUUAUAUAUAGAGAAAGUUACAGCUGUUAUAUAACAGACGCAAGUGUAAUGCAACUCAAAAGAAAAACCUUUACGAGCAUAGUGAUGAAUGGAGAAAUUCUUCUUAUUAAUUUGUUCUUCUUGUGACUACACAAAAUCUUUAAUCCACAUUUUCUUUGUAGGGUUCAUAACGAUAUCUAAGAUUUUCAUUUCUGUAAUUCUUUCAUAGGUUAUGGUGGACCCUGAUGCUCCUAGCCCAAGUGAUCCAAGCCUGAGGGAAUACUUGCAUUGGUUAGUAUUCUCCCUCUCCCUAUAUCUCUACUUCUCCCUCCUCUCAAUUACACACACACACACACACACACACACACACACAUAUAUAUAUAUAUAUAUAUAUAUAUAUAUAUACCUGGAAAAAAGUGAAAGAAAAAAGAGAUCAGAUUUGUAUGUGGGGAGAUAAUAGUAGUACAAUUUUUUCUAAGCAAAGAGCGUGGGUAUUGAGCCAAAAGGAUGAAGUUGGUGUUGUGACAAGGUUGAACUUCUUAAUAAUAUAUCACCAACAUUAUCAUGUAUAGAGAGCACUUACAUAUAUAGUAGUUCAAUUUUGUCUAAAAGAUGCCUAUAUAGCUUGGAGUGCAAAGAGAGCAUGGCCAAAAGCCAAGUUUGAUUAUGUCAUCUCAAUUUAUAUAUGUCAUCCGGUCUCAAUAAUGAGUAAAGUAUAAUUUACCCAUAUAUUAUGAAAAAUAAAAAUAGAAGAAAUAAAAUGAAAAAGUUCUAAAUUUAUUCUUAGUGGUCCCAUAAGAUUAUAUACAGUGAUGAGUAUUUUAAAUAUUUUUUUUUAUAAUAAUAGACCCAAAUACUUUUCACUAUAUGUAUUUUAUCUAAUUCUUUUGAGGAAAAAAAUUGUCCAAUUUGUCAUCCUUUAGAAUUUUAAAUAUUGAAAAAAAAUCUCUCUUAUUUUCUUAUUUUGUUUCUAGUUGACUUACUGAUUGAUUCCUACGUACUAUAUAUAUAUAUAUAUAUAUAUAUAUAUAUAUAUAUAUAUAUAUAGAAUAUCGAGUUCCAUUAGGAUUUACAACAAGGUUCCUAGGGUACCAUCUCCAUCAAAUAGACCAUAUUGUGUCUAUUUUUCUCUCUUAUAAAGUUAGACUAAAUUAUAUUAUAUACCUUCAUUUUUUUUUCUUGUGAGCACUCCUUCAUAGCUAGUGGAAGAGACAAAUUUGUAUUCUGACCUCUUUCGUUCUUUUACUUCUCAUCAUUUUUACUGUCCGAUAAAUAAAUUGAUUGUUACUUACUUCUUGGCGUUAAAUAAGAAGUCAAAGAGUACAAGCUCCACGAUAUAUUCAUUUACUCCUUAUAUAUUUACUCGUUCCGUUUUUUUAAUAUAAGUCAUUUUAGAAAAAUAUUUUUAUUCUUAAAUAUAAGUUGUUUGAGAAUUUUAAGUAAAUAUUAAUUGCUUAGUUUCUAAUAUUAUCCCAAGUAAUAAAUAUAACUUUGGUUCUCUUACUAUUUUUGCCCUAUAAAUAGCACUCUCUUUUUUCAAUACAAAGGUAAUAUAGACAAUUAAUAAUAUAUUUAAUGCUUUAUAAUUAUUUCCUUAAUACUCAUACAUAACUCUAAAACGACCUAUAUUAAGGAAAGAAAGGGAGUAUUUCAUGUGAUACCAAUAACAAUGCUAGCUCCACGAUUCGAAAUUAAAUAAAAUUUACAACCUCUUAUAUUUUUGCAUAUUCUAUUUGAAUUUUAUUUAAAAAGUCUAUCUNNNNNNNNNNNNNNNNNNNNNNNNNNNNNNNNNNNNNNNNNNNNNNNNNNNNNNNNNNNNNNNNNNNNNNNNNNNNNNNNNNNNNNNNNNNNNNNNNNNNAUAUAUAUAUAUAUAUAUAUAUAUAUAUAUAUAUAUAGAUCAUGAAUGAAUGUAUUCUUUCAACCUAAUACAUUUUACAUGAGGUUUAGUAAUUUGGUUCUUAGGAUUUGCAGCAUUAGCGUUUGAUGUGUUGUGUUUGAGCCACAAAAGUUGCAUUGUGAAUUAAAUAAACUACAUUUUAAAUAAAUUAGUUUAAACAAACAAGAUUUACAAGUGUGUUUGUGUAACCAAACAUGCAUCAGUUUAAAAGAAAAAAUUUCAAUUGAAGUAACUAUAACUAAUCCAUGUAAAUGUGAAUAUGUAGGCCAAGAGGUUUUGUGUUAUGAGAGUCCAAGGCCAUCAAUGGGAAUCCACCGAUUCGUUUUCAUAUUAUUCCGGCAAUUGGGGCGUCAGACGGUUUACGCUCCGGAGUGGCGCCAGAACUUCAACACUCGAGAAUUUGCUGAGCUCUACAAUCUUGGUUUGCCAGUAGCUGUUGUGUAUUUUAAUUGCCAAAGGGAGACUGGCUCAGGAGGAAGAAGGAGAUGAUAAAAAUAAAUACAUAUUAGAAAUUAUUAUUAAUUAGAAUAUUUAUUUGUUUCAUUCUCUUUAUAUAUAUGUAUUGAAGAGACAGAAACAAGUAGGUAUAAUCUAUGUGUAUUGUUUUUUUGUUUUGUUUUUUUUGAGAACGGCAGAUGGCUAUGUUAAUUUAAUUUGGUUGAAUGAAAUAAUCCUUUUUUAUGUAUGAGUGUAGUUUUACGUUAAAUGUUUUCCCUACAGGAGAAUUAUAUCUGCCCUCCGGCCAUUAUUGAAGGAGUAUAAAUAUUCUAGAAAGAGUGUUGAAUAGAUAGAUUAUUAUACUUUUUGGAAAAUUAUUGGUCUUUUAAAAAUUAAUCCAUGACUCAUUUGUUUGAUGAUAUGUGAAUAUAGAACAAGUCAAGGAAAGAGUUAAGAAAGGAGGUAAUCAAUCACACUCAAAGUGCUAACAAGUAGUAAGAAUUAAUAUAAAUUAAACGCAAUUGUUUAUAAACGUAGAUCUCUUAAUGAGCAUAUAAUACAAGUGAUGAUAUAGAGAUUAAAGCUCUAGCUUGUAUUUAAAUAAACUCAAGAUCAAGUUCACAAGCACAAGUAUCAAUAUGAUAAGUAGAUUACUUGUGGUGUGUAGUUUUUGAUGUAUAAAUAUAACCUUAUAAGCUUAUAUCAAAAAUUAGUGUAAGAAAUGUUUGGAUAAAAUGAUGAAUAUAAUAUUAAGGGUUGAAGAUAUAUAGAUUAAUAUCAAACACUUGAAUGACAAUUAAAUAGUCAAGUAUAAAAUAUAUAAAAGUUUAAUACUUGAACAAUUUAAUGAUAAAAUAUUAUACUUUUAAGCACAUAUAUUUUUCUUGAUUAAAAGAUAUAAGCAUUUUAUAGUCAAUCAAGAAUGCUUAAUAUUUAAAAAUAUUACAAGUAUGUAAAUAUAUCAAUUUGAUGCUUUAAAUACAAUUUCAAGUAUAAUAUGAUUUAAACUAAUAUGCUCAAAUACUUGAACUUUAAGCAUAACUAAUCAAGUGUAAUAUAUGUUUGGUUUUAUUUAUAUUUCUUUUCUAAGAGUAGUCAGUUUACAUAUACUUCUCUCAAUGUAUAUAUUAUAUAUAUUUGUCUGAUGGAACACACAUCCGAUAUCUUAAAUUAAGACGGGUUGGGAGAUAAUUUAAUAUUUAUUCACUAAAACAUGAUGCUUAACAAGAUAUAAAAUAUACAAUAAAAAUUAUUAUUUCCAUAACAAAAGUGUCGUUAUAGAUUCUUUAGUGACGGUUUUCACCGUCGCUAUACAUCUACCUCGACACUUUUAUUGUGUAAAUAAUAAAAAGUAUUAUAAAUUUAACAAUUACCAAAAUAAAAACAUAGGCUUCAAGUGACGGAAUUUUGCACACUUGAAUUCCUUCUUUGAUUUUCAAGUGAAAUAGAAUGUAAAAUUCUAAUGAUCACAUUUGAUCAGAUUAAUAAAAAUUCGAUUGAGCAUGUAUGUAUUGAUAAGGAUAAUGAAAAAAUCAAGGAACAUAAAUGAGGAAUUCAAGGGAUUUUCCUUUUUAUUUUGUGAUUAAUUUGUAAUCAUCUUAUUUCCAGUAUUCUGUUAUUAUGUUUAGGUAGUUACUAUGUUUUAAAUUGUUUUCCUUAUCACUUAGGAGAGUUCUCAUUUUUCGUGUAUUAUAUAUACUGGUAACAAAUCAAUGAAAAGCACACAUCCAUAAUUCUCUAAUUCUCUCUGUGUUAACUUCUUCGUGGUAUCAAAAUCUAUCUAAGGUUAUCUUUCCUGAUUUUUUUUUUUUGCAAUGGCAAACAAAAAUAAUCAAAUUACCAUUCCCAAUACUCGAGAACCCACAAAACCCCUCAUCAUGAUCACCGUUCAUAACUCCAUUAAACUCACCUCCACUAAUUACCUCUCCUGGAAACUUCAGAUGGAAGCCAUUUUAAUUGGCUAUGAUCUACACAAAUUUAUUGAUGGCUCCUUUCCUGCUCCUAUGGCCAAAAUCACCACAAAUAAUGAAACAAAAGAAAAUCCAGCAUACAACACAUGGGUCCGCCAAGAUAAACUUAUUUUUGGGACUCUGGUUGGCACACUCUCUCUUUCUAUUAUUCCUCUCAUCACCCACACACAAACCUCUCAUGAAGCAUGGCAAGUUUUGGCCAAUACUUAUGCUCGGCCCCCCUCUCGUGGUUAUAUUCUACAAAUUAAAGAUCAACUCAGACAGAUAACCAAGGGCUCCCAAACUGUUUCUGAUUAUAUACAGGCCAUAAAAACUCAUGCAGAUGAACUUGCGACACUUGGCAAACCUUUUGAUAAUGAAGAUGAUGAAUAUCAACCUGUUAUUGAUGUUGGAGGGUCUCGAUGAUGGAUAUCAACCUGUUAUUGAUGUUGUUAAUGGCUGUGAGACCCCAAUCUCUUUUGAUGAACUACAUGAAAAAAUUAUCAACAAGGAGCUUUCUCUUCAUCAAAAGAUCAGUUCAUCACUUCUUCCGGCCUUCGCUAAUAUAACCAAUACCAGAUUUGCUCCAGGCCAAACCCAUAAUUGCUCUACACGAUCUUCCUGACCUUAACCCCCUCACGAGCCUGCUAUGGGUCAGCCCGGCCACACCCAACCUGCCCAGACGUCCUUCUCCUCAACCUUUUCUCGGUCGGUGCCAGUGGUGUAAUACUUAGGGACAUGUGGUCUCUAAAUGUCCAAUUUUUUUGCCAACACCACCCAAACUUGCAACCACCUCCUCGUUCCGAUAAUAACUGGCAACCCCGUCCUUCAACUCCCUCGCAAUCUCGAGCUCAUGUUACAACCGCAGACUCCUCUACCACUUUUAAUUGGCUCCUCAACAAUGGAGUUUCUCACCAUGUUACUUCUGAUUUAAAUUUACAACCUUUCCUUUCACACACCCUAUGAUGGCAUAGUCGACAUUGUGAUUGGAAACGACAAGGGUCUUCCUAUUUCUCAUAUCGGUUCUACAUCUCUAUCUACUCCUUCUCAAUCCUUUUCAUUAUCUAACGUGAUAUGUGUACCUACAAUGAAAAAAAAAUCUUAUUUCUAUUUCACAAUUUUGUUGUUCUAACAAUACUUCUAUUGAAUUCACACCCACCUCUUUUUUGUGAAGGAUCUACGUACGGGGGCAAUCUUUUUGCAAGGUCGGACUAAGGAUGGUGUGUAUGAAUGGCCAACAACUACCUUGUCCCCAUCUUCUCCAUUAAUCGCUUUUUCUAGUGUCAAAACCACGCCAUUUGAGUGGCAUGGGCUAGGACAUUCGUCAUUUUCUAUUUUCAAGCAUAUUGUAUCUUUCUUUAAGCUUGACUACUCUCGAUUUUUUUUUAUGUCAAUUUUAAUUCUAACUCAUGUCAAUUUUAAUUCUAACUCAUGUCAGUGCAAUAAAAGUCAUAAAUUACUUUUUUCAAUUUCCACUACCACAUCUUCUCCUCUUGAAAUUAUUUUUUCUGAUGUAAGGACCUCUCCUCUUUACUCUAUUGAUAACUUCAAGUAUUAUGUUAUUUUUGUUGAUCAUUUCACAAAAUAUAUAUGUUUCUAUCCUCUAAAAUGAAAAUCUCAUGUAUAAAAUGUCUUUGUUCGCUUUAAGUCCCUUGUCGAAAAUCAUUUCAAACCCAAAAUACUCGCACCUUAUUCUGAUAAUUAGGGGGGGGGGGGAUAUCAAGCACUUUCUAAAUUCUUAGCCACCAAUGGGGUGUCACAUCUUACCUCCCCCCUCUCACACACCAGAACAUAGUUGAAAUUGGGUUAUCUCUUCUCUCCCAUGCCUACAUGCCUCUGUCGCACUGGUCAUUUUCUUUCUUCACUGCUAUCUACCUCAUAAAUCGUCUUCUCACCCCUACUCUCGACUUUCUCUCCCCAUAUAAUAGACUCUUUGGUACUUGAUGAAUGGGUAAUAUACCCAUGAAUUGGAUACAUUCGGGCUUAAUUUAUUGUUGUUCUCAAGUCUUUUAGAAUAGUUUUUAAGUGUUUGUGUCUAUUCAAGCAUGUUUUAUGAUGUUUUGUAGGAAUUAAGACAAAAGUUACUUGGAUCGACGUUUGGGGUGGCUAGAUUCGCGUUUCGGCUUGCCAUUUACACAACAGUCACUUCAGAGCCAAUUUGAGUAUUGCUCCGGACCUUAUUUCGAAAAACUUAAAGAAUAAAAGUUGUAGAUCUACUUUUCCUCUUUUCGGAUCAUCUUGAAUCAUUGAAAUCGGAGUUCGGACGAAGAAGUUAUGGCCAUUUUCGCAAAGGACAUCGGAGUAGAAUAUGUCGGAAAAGGGUCCAGCACCGGGGCGCCCAUUUUUGGCCUAUGCCCAGCGCCGGGGCGCUGGGGAGCAGUGUACUAGCGUCAUGCCCAGCGCUGAGGCACUAGGGAAGAGUUUGGUUGGGCCUGGACGCAUUUUUGGGCGAAUUUUGAUACCUUUUUGACUCCAAAUUGGAUUGGGUUUGUUCCUAAGCUAAAAAUUGGACUUGUAACCUAUAAAUACAUGAUGUAAGACAUAAAAUAAAGGGAGAUUACAUAGAUUAGACUAGAUAAAACACUCCAUUAGAUUAGAAUAUAAACCCUAGUUCUUAAUUAGCCAUUGGAGAUUGAAGCAAAUUGAAGAACACUGAAGAUCAAGAGCAAGAGCAAGAGGGGAGCAUCAGAUUUGCUGACAACAGAUUCUAUUCUCUUCUCUUAUCAUACUUUUAUCUUUUAAUGUCUAUUCAGUUGUGGAUUCUUGGUUUUAAUUCAUUAAUUAUGAACUAACUCUUUUAUUAAGAUUUCAAUUGAACCUUUUAUGGCUAUAAAUUAGUUAUUUGAUUUAUUCCAAUUAUUUGUGUCAAAGUGAGUUGUUUAUCUUGCCUUAUGCUUAUUGAUUAAUUAUCUGAUCAGUAAUUACCUUGUUACUCUAGAAGGAAUUGAAAGAGGAAUUCUAGGGUUAGAACUGGGUAUGAUGUCAUGUGACUUAGUUAUUUGCACAGUGAAUAAUUAGGUUUGUGAAUAGAAUGAAAAUAUCUGUUCGCCGCAUGUAGCACAUAAGGAGUUGAGAUUGUAACGAGUUUAAUUCAAUUGUUUUGCAUAGAAAUAUAGCAAGAUUAAUCUGGAUUAAAUAGAAGGCAAUUGAUCACUUGGAAAAGGACUUUUGGCAUUUGAGAAUUCNNNNNNNNNNNNNNNNNNNNNNNNNNNNNNNNNNNNNNNNNNNNNNNNNNNNNNNNNNNNNNNNNNNNNNNNNNNNNNNNNNNNNNNNNNNNNNNNNNNNGAGUUCAUAAUUGGGGAUAUUGAAGUCUUAAUCCUCAUUUAUCUGAAUUCAAUCAAUCUUAGUUCUGUUUAUUUGCUUUCUUUUAGACUAAUCUCUUCCAUUUGUUUAAUUUAGUUUUCUUAAUUCGAAAAAAUCACAAUUAUUGGUUGUUUAAAUAAAAUUGAUUUGGUUAAGAGUUAGUAUUUGAUAAUUUUUAUUAAAUAAUUUCUCGUAGGAACGAUACUCUACUUUCACUUUAUUACUUGUUAACCGUGUAUACUUGCACGUAUUCAUUGAUUGCAAAAUCGAUCAACAAGUUUUUGGCGCCGUUGCCGGGGAAUUAAUUUAAUAAUUAUUUACCAAUAUUAAUUUCAAUCAAAUUAGUCUUAAUUUAAACAUUUUUAUUUUUAUUUUUAUUUUUCAUUCUCUUCCUAUAUUUCUCUCUUUUUAGGUACCAUGGAUGACUUUGCGUAUCAAUGGCCAUACACGAACAUGACUCAACCAAGGGGAGCGGAGAUUGACAGACUCGAGAAACUUUCUGCAUUGUCAGCACAUAUUGAGACACUUUCGAGGAUGUUUGAAGCUUUUGAAGCUCAACGUCGUCAAAGUGUGGCGGUUACUUGUGAUUAUUGUGCUGAAAAUCAUAUGAGUCAUCAAUGCGCCAUCAGUUUCGAGCCGGUACAGUAUAGUGGUGAUUACCCCAAUAAUUAUGUCUAUCCCAACAACUAUCAUCAUGAUUGGGGGUAUCACCUGGAUUUUUAAUGGAGUAACAAUCAAGCUCAAGCUCAAGCGCCAAGACAACAAAACACAUCCGGAUUCCAAAAUUAGACUCAACAACCAGAGAGGAAAUCAAGUUUGGAAGAAACCUUGGAGAAAUUUAUUAGAGCUUCUGAAAAAAAGAACGAGGAAAAAGACAAAAUAUUUAAUCAAAUAGAGCUGAAUAUGCAAAGCCUAGGUGCGUCGAUCAAGAAUUUGGAAUAUCAAUUGGGGCAGAUAACACAUGCGUUGAACAACCAUCCUCAAUACACUUGGCUCUAUGACAUGGAUGCCGAGACUGAUGGUGAGCUCAAACCAAAUCUGCAACCGGAUGUGCUAAAUGAUAUAGAUGUUGAAAGAGAGGAAAGACUUGGAGACCAAGAAAAGGAGAUCGGGAAAGAUCUAACUUUGAGUACCAACGAAGAUGAGCCAAUUUUGAUAGUGUCCCAUGUACCUUCUCCACCAAAGUUCAAGAAUCCGGGCAGUUUUGCAAAACCAUGCCCAAUUGGAAGUCAUGUCGUCGGCAAAGCUCUUGGUGACGUAAGAGCUAGUAUAGUUGUGGAGUCAUGGUGGGAUGAAAAGGAGAAGAUAGAGGAAGAUUCCAUUAUGUUUAUUAAGCUUCAAUGUCCCAAUCUGAUCAUAGACAUAAUGGAGAAAUCACCUAGUUGUUGGACGUUCUUAAUGGGGAUCUUAUCUACAAAGAGCAUGCUAGGUGACUUUAAUUCAAGGGUUUUUGCUAAUGGGAACCUCCCAAAAGAGACAUUAUUACUGAUGGAUGGAGGAUUCCUCAAUUUUCGAAGGGGAAUUGGAUAAAGAAUUGAAGAAGUCAGGCUGAGACUAUAAAACAAGCGCUUAUUGGGAGGCAACCCAAGUUUAAUUUUUAUUUUUAGUUUUUAUUAAGUUUUAUAUUAGUAGUUUUGAUUUGCAUUUAUUUAGAAUUUAAUAAAAUUGCUUCUAUCAUGGUUUUACAGGUUAUUCAAGUCAAAUUCAAGUGUGGUGCCCAAUUUGUUCCAUGCACUACGGGCCAUUGAGGACUUUUACCACAUCAUUCGUUACAUUAUGGUCAUGAUUAUACCGAAUAAUUCCUGGUCAUAAUCAUACCAAGUCCAUCUAUGCACGUAAACCAAAGAUGACUUUCAUCACAAUAUAAACAUGAGGAUGAUGACAAUGACAUAACAAUUCAAUAAAACAAGUUCAAGGAUAAAUUUUAAAGAUUUAUAAUUUAAUUUAUCCAGAGAUCAAUAACGUCCAAAUUUUCAACAUGAUAUUGCUUUGUAGAGUAAAAUUCAAGAAUAAUAUUCAUGUACCAAAAAUAAUUUGGACAGAAAAGAAUCAAUUUUUCAUCGUAAAUAGUACCCCAUGAAUAGUACUUCGGGAAUAGUACCUCGUGAAUAGUACCCCGACAUAAAAAGUACUCCAAAUACCCGAGUGAAUAAUAUUCGGGUGAAUAGUAAUUUGGGUAAAUAGUAAUCCAUGAAUAGUAACUCGUAAAUAGUACUCCGACAUGAAAAGUGCCUCGAAUACCCGAGUGAAUAAUACUAGAGUGAAUAGUAAUUGGGUGAAUAGUAACCCGUAAAAGAAAAUACCAAAAAAAAAUGAUAUUCCAUGACGUGUACAAAAGAAAUGAUAUCUCAUACGAGUAUAAUAUACUAUACGAAACUGCAAAUGAAUUUUCACCCGUUAUGCAGUAAUCCACGUAGACAGAUCAUUUCCACAAUUUAAUAAAGAAUGAAUAUGAAAGGUCAUUCACCAUACAUGCGGUAAUCCACACACUACUACAAAAUACUAAAUAGACAACACUUAAAAAAAACGUUGUGGUAUUUUUUUUACAACGUUUUUAAAAAAAACGUUGUAGAUAUAUAUGCAAAAACAUUAUCUAUUUAAAAGGAUAUUUUUUUGGUUUUAAUUAGAUAACAUUUUUUUUAAAAAAAUGUUGUCUAUGAAGAAAAACACGGAGUUAAAAAAAAGGCGAUUAAAUAAAAACUUAAGCUAGUGCUCGACCUCUUUUUUCCUUUCUGGAAGUUAAUUUAGGGCUCGACCUCUCCCCUCCGGAGCGCAAGCAAUUCGUCAGGAAAGUUGUUGAAUCCUACCUCGUAGACCUGCAAUCCAAAGCUGAAGCAGCGCGACAAGCAGAGGAAGAAGAGCCUGAAGAAGAAGAUGACGAAGAGGGACAGAGAAAGGGAAAGAGAGGCGGCGCUAAAGAGUACGACGAUGAUGGAGAUCUCACCAUUUGUCGUGUGAGUUUAGAUUCGAUUCAUCAUUUUAUAUUUUUCUUGGAGUAUUAGAAUUAAUUAAAUGAUUUUCUAAGUGUUUAUAAGUAAAAUGGUUUAGAUGUAUAGGUAUUCAAAUUUUCAUUGAGAGUUUUAGACCUUAUAUAUACUUCAAUAGUCUAUCCAAAUUGUCAUGUUCUUUGGGGCUGAAACUUAUUGGCCUUGUAAUUCAUGUUUAACUUAUUCCAUCUUCUCCUUUUUCUGAAAUUCAAAUUGUCAUUGGUGAAUGGAAUUUGUGAUUUACCGAUCUAGUGUUUUGUAUGACCUGGGUGCAAAAUCUUUGAAGUGAAGGCAAACUUUCCCCCUUGCAUUAGUGUACAUUUAUUCUCUUGGAAUUUAAGAUCCAUAUCAAGCAGUUAUCAACUUCAUACUCCUUCAUGCUAUUGGUUUUGCUGAAUGGUCCAUCUUGGAUCGAUAUCUGAUGUAAAUUUGCACUUGCACGGUCUGUAUGCUAUGA
This 60860-nucleotide long non-coding RNA is filed under the name Panax ginseng (ginseng). RNAcentral's name for it is "long non-coding RNA (PGIN_LNC000942)". The record is from RNAcentral. Lineage: Eukaryota; Viridiplantae; Streptophyta; Magnoliopsida; Apiales; Araliaceae.